UUUUUCUUUCUAGAGAGAGAGGGGGAAGGUUUGGGGGAUGAAACUGUGAGGGAAAGAGAGAGAGAGAGGUUCUAAUCCCCUCUAUACUCAUAACUCAUGCACAAAAUGCCAAUAAGCCCCUCAACAAUGCUUCUCUUGCAACAGCCUGAACUGGGCAUUUUCGGGCUUCGGGGACCGGUCCUUGGAUGAGGGACUGGUCCCUGAGAGACCGGUCCUUGGCUGAGAGACCGGUCCCCGAAGGUCCAGAAAUCAGCCUUCAAGGACUUAGCCAAAUUUUCAGCAUUUUCACUAAUUUUUGUCCGUUUUCGCUCGUUUUCGCUCGUUUGGUCUCCUAUUAAUUUCAAAUCGAACCGAGACCCUCCAAACAUGUUUUCAAGCAUGUUUUCAUCAUCUUUUCAUCCACGCUAAUGCCGAAUUUAGUGCAUGGUCCGACAUAGCCCUUUGGGUUCCGUUUUUGCCCCUACGUGCACUAAAGCACCCGAAUGCUCCCGAACCUCACCGGAAUGAUUCCAAUGGCUUCUAACAUCCAUGGAAACUUUAUGGCUAUAGAAGUUCGGUAUAUUACUGUAACAUACCAGAUUUUGGUAUAAAAAUAAAAAAAAAAUAGUGUGAGAAACUAUUUUUAUUGGAUUUAUAGAAGUAAAACAUAAGUCAGAAGUGACUUGUGCUGAAAUCAGAAUGAAAACAGAAGAUCUAGAAUUUUCUGUUGGAAACGGGACAGAUAAAUUAGCAGAAAAUAUACAGUCUCAGAAAAUUAUGAAAAUUGGAGGAUAAGUCAGAAAUAUUUUUAUGAUGCUAGAUUUAAAGUUUCAUAUUUUUCUGACACCCGUAGAGCGAGAAAUAAAAUCCGACAGCUAUCUGAUAAAGAUUACAAUUCGGUACAGUUUUCGGUGACCAAAUGGGGUCGAAACUGAAAACUUAAAAUAUAUUCUUACUCAGUACGUUAAAUUGAGCCUGCCUGUCAAAUUUGAACUCAAACGGACAUUCAGAAGGGCUCCAACUGUUCCGAACUGCUAAACAGCUGCCCGGGAGUGAAUAGUGUUGUGGUGUUGACUAAAGAGGAGUGUUGACUCUUCUUCUUCUCCUUCAGCCGCACACACACCACACACACACACGCGCGCGCAUGGAGGGGGAGGGAAACCCUCGCUUCUCUCUCUAGAGAUCUCUCUCAUCUCUCUAGAUCUCUCUCUAAAAAUUGGAGGGUUGGUGGAGAAGAUGCUUGCGAAUGCGUUGGAGGCGACGGAUUGAGCUUUCGUGCGCCCGUUUGAGCGGCGUGUUUUCGUCGCGGCGUUCACAUUGAGGUAAGCUUUUAGGAUUUGGCUAAAUCCUUAAUGCUUAAUGUUCUAAUAGCCUCUAAUGUGUUGAUUAGCAUGUUGAAUCCAUUUAAUUUGGGUUAAUUGGAGCAUGUGUAGAGACUAGGUUUUUAAAAAUGGUAGAAUCUUAGAGCUUUAAUUAUAUGCUCUAGGAAUGGGUUUAAAGGACUCUCUAUAUGAUAUCUACAUGCUAAUUGCUUGAAUCAUGAAUCAAAUUUGAAGCUUAUUGCAAUAGUAGCAUGUUAGGGCUCCAAUUUUGGGGUUUUAUAAAGUGUAUGGGUUUGAUCUAAAUUGACCCUAUGUAAACCUAAUUGCUAGGUAAACGAACGCGUUGGCGAAGUCGGUUCGUCGAUUCGUCGAGCUGUUGCGAAGUUAUUAAAGAAACGGAUGUUUAGGCUUCGUUUCUGCCUGAAUGGCCGAGGCGACAUCGGAAACUCAUGAAAAUGGAUUUGAAGCAUCGUGGCACAUAACCGAAGACCUUUAAUUUUCGGAUCGUGAAUUGAAGGCCGUUCGGGUGGUCGCGCGAGAGAUCGGGCCAAGCCGGGUGCCGGGUGCCGGGUGCCGCGGGAGGCCGAUUGCAAGUGACUACAAGCAAUCGGAAUCCGAAACGAGGUGGGUUGUGUUUACCGAAGCGACUAGGUCGCCUAUAUGUCUAAGAGUAAUGGUUUUCUAAUUGAUGUAUAUAGUUGUGUUGGUAGGCUUACAUAAUGAUAUGAAUGCUUGAAACAUACUAUAUAGUUGAGAUUACCUACCAAUGAGAUGAGAUGCAUAAUGAAUUAAAUGCUAAAAGAAUGCAUGGAUGCUAAGUAUGGACUAUUUUGGAUAAUGACUAUAUGUAUGUUGACAGAUCAUGUGAUGCUAGUGGUAUAUGUGCAUGAUGACAUAUUAUGAAUUAACAUAUUGUGGAUUAUGCUAAAUAGAAAAACAUACUUGGUGACAUAUUGCCAUAUUAUGGAACAUAGUAGAUGAAAAUGUAUGCAUGUUGAUAUACCUUGAGAUAUGAGUUGAUAUAUAUGCAUGUUGAUGUAUUGUGGACUAUGUUAAAUAACAUAUGCAUGUUGAAUUUGGGUCUAUACCUCUUGGAUGGUUAGAAAACUCGACGUUGGAAAACAAUAACGUAUGAACUAUGAUAUGUGACGUGGACAAUCUAUAUAUAUUAGAUCGAGUGGCAUAUGAUUAGUGUAGUGGAAAUACUUAUGGCAUGUUGAACAUUUAGAAAACAAGUGUGGCAUGAGUCCAAGAAUAUAGUAGUAUAUAUGACACAAGUGAUAGUAAAGAAUGCAAAGAAAAGAAUGAUGGAAAUAUUAUGACAUUUCAACCCUAGAGUUAGGGUCAUUUGAGCAUAGUCUUCCUAAAGUUAGAAAAUAGAUUGAACUUGACAUCCUCAAGAUUUUAGAUUUGAUCAUUGAUCAUACUCACCUUUAGUCCUUGCUCGAGGUUGUGGUAGCUCCCCCUCGGGCGAUAUGCUCCGGAGUCGACAUCACUGAGUGUAGCGAGUAUCUCCCCAGAGGACGGUCCCAUCGAGUGUAGCGAAUAUCUCCCCAAUUAUUGGGAUUUUGAGUUGGUGAGUUUGUUGAGGGCGAAACCUUCGGGUUAGCCAAGAGAUUGGGUAACAAGCACAUGAGCUGUAGCAAUAUCCGAGUUGAGUGGACUUAAGGCUGAGGUGCAAGUGAGACGUCCUUUGCCUCGAGCCUGGCUUUACGCGGUACUCCGCGAAUGAUUGAUUCGAGACCGAGUCGGGUGGAUAGUUGAUAAAGGUAAAUGAGACCCUAUGAUCAGAAUUGUAAUUGUUAUGAGUUUAAAAUAGAGAAAUAACUUCGAGGUCAAUUGAAUGAGCUAUGAAUAACAGGAUUAAAGUAGUAUCGAUUGAACUACUAAUUGGUUGCAUAAAUCGCAUGAUUUUCAUAUUGCAUGGUUGUGAGGUAUGACAUGUAUUUCAAUUAUCGCAUAUAUAUAUGUAUCUGUUGGAUAUUUGUUGGACUAACAUGUUGUAGUGCCUCUAUUGGACCUAUUGGUCGAGCUUUUCCCUUGGGUCGCCGUACCCACUGGGAACCAUGGAGUUGGUUCUCACCCCACGUUAUUUUGGGGUAUUACAGGUUCACACGUGAGCAGCGCAGCGGCGCGAGGCGAGGGCGUAGCUCCAUAGUUAGCGCCCUACCACCGAGACCAGAGAUAGCGGUACCCCGAGUCAGCCUAGCUAGGGGUGUAGAAGAAAAGAAAAGGAAAGAAUAAACAAUAUUGUAAUAAUUUUGAUUGUAUUUGGAAGUUAAAUGUAAAAUGUAAUAGUGAUGUAAAGUAUGUCUAGUGAAUGUGAAUGCUUGUAAUAACAAGUAGAUUAUGUUUUUGAUACUUCCUUAUACAAUCUUUAAUUGAAAUGUGUUCCUGGUUGGAACUUUGUACAUUGUAUUGAUUGCGACGCCUUGAAUGUACAGGGGAGACUCUGUCCGCGAUACAGGGGAUACCCUGUCCGUUCGGCGGUUUGUCGGCGUGCCGCGACCUGGCCAAAUAGGCGGGCGGUCGCGCAGCGUGACAGAUAAGAUAGUAUCAGAGCAUAAAAAGAAUAUAAAAAUAAUAAUAGAAAUGGUUUAGUUGGACCUAGGAGACCCUAGGACAGUAAACCAUAGGAGAUUAAGGCUCGUGAGAGACGAGGAUUUGUGACUUUUGGCGAAAGGUUAAUUGAUUGGGUUGUGUCGUAAACCUCUAAAACGGAUGUUAGAGGUAGAUUCAAGGUGUGGUUUAUUCUCAAUCGAUGGUAUUCGUGUUGGGCGCGCACAACAUGAAACCGAGUGAUCAGAAUAGACGCCCUUGCAUGACUUUCGCCCGAUUUGAAUCGGUAUUAAGUGUCUCGUGUUCGACCUAGAAGGUUGAGGAUUAAUAGAGUUGUCGCAUUUUAGGAAACGACAGCACUGCGUAGGCGAUCUUUGUUUAGAUCGGCGCGGGAUGGGCCAAGUGGUGUCCCUGGGCAAUUUGAGACGAGCGGAGACUUGAGACUUCGCGAGCGAUUGGCCACUCUCGUGUGUGUAGCGGGGUAAUGAGCCGAAUUAGUGCAGUGUCAGCUGAAGGCUGCCAUAUGCCGGGAGGAGCGAGUUAAGAGACUCCAAGAGUUGGGGGAUUAGUAGUGAUCGCACCAGUUCCGGCUCGUUAAGUACUGCCGGGAGUCGCGACGAAGGUGUGGUGGACAGGCGUCAAGUGGAAUCGACUGCCUGGUCUCCCUCCUGUGGUUUGGGAUGAGUUUCAGGGAUCGGUAUUCUCUGUUUACUCUCCUGAUGAUGGAAAAGAAAGCUUCAGGAAAGGUUCUCGAAGCUACGGCAGGUAGACCGCGCCGUGAGGGAAUACGAGCGGAAAUUCUCCCGUGUCGUGAAUUGCAUCCCGUACAUAGUGCGGGAUAAUGAGAACAAAACUCUUUUUAGGAGGGGAGAAUGUAACGUACCGAAAUUUCGGUAAAUAAACAUCAAACUUUAGUAAAAUUGACCAAAGUACGUUGAGAGAAAUAGUUGGAUAAAGUUCAAUUGAUAUUCCGACGAUGUUGGAAGGAUAAGAAUUGGGCUCUAAAAGAGUUAGAAUGGUUUUAGCAUCGAUCGGUGCGAGUUGGAGUCGAAAACAAGCUAAAACUACAUUCUGGAGGAAAGUGUACCGAUACAUGUUGAUGGUUGUACCGGUACAGCAAGCGGCCCGAGAAGAGCAUUGCUCUCGGGUUUGAGUUUUUGCAGAAGUGUACCGGUACACUCCUGGUUUGUACCGGUACCUUUUGGUAAAAUCCGAGGAGGUUGCUCUCGGGUUUGCCUCUGCACAGCUUUUUACCGGUACAAAAGCCCGUGUACCGGUACACAAUGGGUCUGACAGUAGGUUGAGAUCUGCUGCAAAUGAAAAACGUUGGGGGGUUUAAAUGCAGUUGUGGCGGUUUGUAUAAACCCCACACCCCUUCUUUCCUUGUUCACAGCAAGGAGUACCCCUUCAACUCCAUGUUCUUUCUUCUCUCACUCUCCAGGAGCUUUUCUAAAGAGGAGGAUUAGAGAAGCUUUGAGGAUUAGGCCUUGUGGAUAGAACAAGGCAGUGCAAUUGUGCGAGGGGAGCGUGAGUCCAAUUGCAAGGAAAAGAAAAAUAGAACUGCCAACGAGUGGAUUCGAUGGUCCGUCAAGUUCUCAAGUGAGUGCAAUGUGUUCGCGCUCGUGAAUCCGAGUUCCGGGGACCUACUGUGUUCGGUCCUUAGUGAGAUGUGUCGUUUGUGGAUGUUUUCGUUACCCACAGUAUUGCGAGCUGUGAGAGGGCAAGUGCUACAGGUGUGGCCAACCGGGCUGUGCGCGGGACGAGUGUCUGCAAGGUGACAGCCGGGGCCUGACACUGGCGACAGUCUAUUUCUCUCUAGGAUGGCCUGCAAGUGUGCCAUUUGCGGCAUGUCGGGAAAGAGGGCGUUGAGGACAAUGCAACCUAAAGGUUCGCGGCGAGCGCUAAGUGGCUGUAGAUACACGACCCAGGUUGAGGACCCUGCUGCUGACGACGUCGUUGCAGGUAUGAGUUAUUGAUGCAAAUGUAUGUUUUGCAUGAUGUGAAGUUGAUGCAUUGCAUGCAAUGGUUAUGUGGUUAAUUACUAUUGCNNNNNNNNNNNNNNNNNNNNNNNNNNNNNNNNNNNNNNNNNNNNNNNNNNNNNNNNNNNNNNNNNNNNNNNNNNNNNNNNNNNNNNNNNNNNNNNNNNNNNNNNNNNNNNNNNNNNNNNNNNNNNNNNNNNNNNNNNNNNNNNNNNNNNNNNNNNNNNNNNNNNNNNNNNNNNNNNNNNNNNNNNNNNNNNNNNNNNNNNNNNNNNNNNNNNNNNNNNNNNNNNNNNNNNNNNNNNNNNNNNNNNNNNNNNNNNNNNNNNNNNNNNNNNNNNNNNNNNNNNNNNNNNNNNNNNNNNNNNNNNNNNNNNNNNNNNNNNNNNNNNNNNNNNNNNNNNNNNNNNNNNNNNNNNNNNNNNNNNNNNNNNNNNNNNNNNNNNNNNNNNNNNNNNNNNNNNNNNNNNNNNNNNNNNNNNNNNNNNNNNNNNNNNNNNNNNNNNNNNNNNNNNNNNNNNNNNNNNNNNNNNNNNNNNNNNNNNNNNNNNNNNNNNNNNNNNNNNNNNNNNNNNNNNNNNNNNNNNNNNNNNNNNNNNNNNNNNNNNNNNNNNNNNNNNNNNNNNNNNNNNNNNNNNNNNNNNNNNNNNNNNNNNNNNNNNNNNNNNNNNNNNNNNNNNNNNNNNNNNNNNNNNNNNNNNNNNNNNNNNNNNNNNNNNNNNNNNNNNNNNNNNNNNNNNNNNNNNNNNNNNNNNNNNNNNNNNNNNNNNNNNNNNNNNNNNNNNNNNNNNNNNNNNNNNNNNNNNNNNNNNNNNNNNNNNNNNNNNNNNNNNNNNNNNNNNNNNNNNNNNNNNNNNNNNNNNNNNNNNNNNNNNNNNNNNNNNNNNNNNNNNNNNNNNNNNNNNNNNNNNNNNNNNNNNNNNNNNNNNNNNNNNNNNNNNNNNNNNNNNNNNNNNNNNNNNNNNNNNNNNNNNNNNNNNNNNNNNNNNNNNNNNNNNNNNNNNNNNNNNNNNNNNNNNNNNNNNNNNNNNNNNNNNNNNNNNNNNNNNNNNNNNNNNNNNNNNNNNNNNNNNNNNNNNNNNNNNNNNNNNNNNNNNNNNNNNNNNNNNNNNNNNNNNNNNNNNNNNNNNNNNNNNNNNNNNNNNNNNNNNNNNNNNNNNNNUCUCUCUCUCUCUCUCUAUCUAUAUAUAUAUAUAUAUAUAUAUAUAUAUAUAUAUAUAUAUAUAUAUAUAUAUAUAACUAGGCUGGUAUACUAUCGGUAGCACGGAGGCCUCCGUGCUACCAAGUUGUUUUCAAUGAUAUAGCUUCCAAAUUGAUGAUCGGCUCCGUUAGACUUGAUUUACACUAUUGAAAGUAUUUGAAAACAAAAUUUCAUAAUUUUUCGAUAUCAUUUACCUAUCAAACGAGUAAUCUAAAACUGGUCGAAAAUAAAAAUCUCAUAAAAAAUAAUGAUAAAAAACUUAAAUUUAAGGUCAGAGGUAUUAAUCUUACUAUAAAUAGUGAAAAAAAAAAUUUAUAAAAAUUUCAUCAGAUUUGAAUUGUACUAUAAAUAGUGAAAAAAAAUUUCUAAAAAAAUUUCAUCAGAUUUGAAUUGUUUUAUACCGUUAAAUUCGCAAACACAUCAUAUCGACCAUUAAAAUUGUCAAUUUUGAGACCUUUUUGCAGUAUCUCUGGUGUUUGGUUGCCCGUGAGAUUUCAGUAUCUGAGGCUUGUCGACACAUCUAGAGAGUGUCGGGACAAGUCGGAGACGUUUUGGCGCGAAAUGGACGUAAAACGGACUUGACGCGAGGCAAGAGUGGAGUUCUAACAUUGAAAUUCGCAAAGUGCAGGUUUUCAGCUGGAUUUUUGAGUAGGUGAGGGGCCUUUUGGUCAUUUAGGUGUUGAUAACCCCAACCUUAUCCCUAGCCACUAUAUAUCUUGUAGAGAGCUCAGAGAAGAGUUUUGUUUGCCAUUCUCUCUCUCUCCCUCUAGUUCUUGGACGUGCUCGUGGUGGAGGACUCGGCUCGAGCUCGAGAGGUUGUCGAUGUUGAUCCGGAGGGUCGUUCGAGCGUGCGGGCGUCGCGGUUGCAUCGUUGGGAGGCCUGGCGAGCGCAUGGUUUCCUCUCCUUUCGACUUCUCGUCGUAGUUGGACUAGCAUGUCGAGGUGGGUUGAAGUUUACCAAAAUCGUCGUAAUACCUACUAAGUUCCUAUAUCGUCAACAUGUUUUGUUGGUUUCAUUUCCUUGCUAGUACUCGAAUUCAUGGAUUAGAGAUAAAAAUUGAAUUUGGAGUUAAUCUAGUAGUAUAAUUUUAUAUGUUGAAUUUGGAAUUGACUUAGGAGAAAACAUAUAAAUCCUACACUGUCAUUUAUAAAAAAUACCAGAUUUAGCUUUAGGAGCUGUGGUUCUUUUGUAUAGUCGCUGUUAGUAUGCGAUGGAUGCCCAGAUUAGUGUCGGAUGAGGUUACGCUUGUGCUGGGAUGCCGAGUUUAUUUUUACAGUAGUGUGUAGACUAUUUNAGUAUUUCGGAUGUCGUUCCGAUGGGUCUAACAGCGAAAGUGAUUCACUGUUGGCGGAACAGUUGGUUAGUAACCAAGUACAAGCACGUAGACCUAGUAGUACCUCAAUGUGAGGUAGGAGGGUCGUGCUUGUGUAGUCGGCGUACGUAGGCAAGGAUUGCCUAACACAGGACUUAGUGUGGAACGCUAUAGAAGCGUAUGAUGUUCGGGUAUAGUUACUCGUGGAGUGCGGGUUUAGUUCAGUUAAGAGAGUGUAUUGGCAGUAGCACUUGAGCGUUGCUAGGUGUGAAGCGUACCAUGGAUCACUCGUGGGACGGGUGACUUGCAUUAGGUGCAUAGUAGCCGGUAGUGGUACUUGUGGCUCGGUAGAGCGUGUCAUGCGAUUGAUGGUAUACCGAGAGUACGAGUGUGACCCAACCCGGGGAUCUGUAACGGUUUGGGAUCUUAGUUGAUCCUGGUUGGAGUGUGUGCGAAUUCCCAAGUGAGAAUUUCGCCCGAUCAUGAUUGGGUCUGCAUUCGCGAGCGAGAGACGCUGCGUAUUGAGACAGGUUUAGGCGGUAGGCCUACGUAGGAUUGGUGGCCUUUGGUCCACCUGUGGGGACCGAAGAGAGCGAUUUGGUAGAUUGCCUUAUCGAGGAAUUUGACUCGAAUUCACGAACGAAGUGCUCGUGUGAGCUAGUUGCGGAAAUAGUUUGAUGUUAAUCGUGGCAUGUGGUAUCAGAAGAUGAAGUGCUCUUGGUGAGACCUUGAGCGAGUAGUAAGCCACGUGGACUUGGAGGAUUGGAAUUGGGGAUAUGCUAAAGUAGGCCAUCUUAUGUUAAAGUUGAGGGUCAGUGCGAAUUUAGAGCACUCGCGACGGAGCGAUGCACCGGUGAUAUUGCUUUUAAGCAAUGUCGGUGAUCGAAUCGGAGUAUAUUCCCUGAAGGGAAGGCUAGUGCAAAGAAGAGUUCUUUGUGUACCGAAUGGUGAGUGGUGUUGGAGCGCGUAGAGUCGUCAAGCAUCGACUUGCGCUGCCACUAUGACUUGCAAGACCCGUGAUGCACUUUUGUAUCACACCUUGCAAAUGUGUUUAGGAUUGAACCCACGUCCUUCAGUAUGAGCCGCUUCUGGAACCACGAUAGUGUGAAAUUGCUCUAGAGUAGGAGAAUGAGUCGGUACCCUCAAUUGCUCGCGGAGCUGAAUUGAGGCGUGGUUUGAAUUUCGCGGAUGAAAUUCUUUUAAGGGGUGGAGAAUGUAACAUACCAGAUUUUGGUAUAUAAAUAAAAAAUAAAUAAAAUUAGUGUGAGAAACUAUUUGUAUCGGAUUUAUAGAAGUAAAACAUAAGUCAUAAGUGACUUGUGCUGAAAUCGGAAUGAAAACAGAAGAUCUAAAAUUUUCUGUUGGAAACGGGACAGAUAAAUUAGCAGAAAAUGCACAGUCUCAGAAAAUUAUGAAAAUUGGAGGAUAAGUCAGAAAUAUUUUUAUGAGGCUAGAUUUAAAGUUUCAUAUUUUUCUGACACCCGUAGAGUGAGAAAUAAAAUCCGACAGCUAUCUGAUAAAGAGUACAGUUCGGUACAGUUUUCGGUGACCAAAUGGGAUCGAAACUGAAAACUUAAAAUAUAUUCUUACUCAGUACGUUAAACUGAGCCUGCCUGUCAAAUUUGAGCUNNNNNNNNNNNNNNNNNNNNNNNNNNNNNNNNNNNNNNNNNNNNNNNNNNNNNNNNNNNNNNNNNNNNNNNNNNNNNNNNNNNNNNNNNNNNNNNNNNNNNNNNNNNNNNNNNNNNNNNNNNNNNNNNNNNNNNNNNNNNNNNNNNNNNNNNNNNNNNNNNNNNNNNNNNNNNNNNNNNNNNNNNNNNNNNNNNNNNNNNNNNNNNNNNNNNNNNNNNNNNNNNNNNNNNNNNNNNNNNNNNNNNNNNNNNNNNNNNNNNNNNNNNNNNNNNNNNNNNNNNNNNNNNNNNNNNNNNNNNNNNNNNNNNNNNNNNNNNNNNNNNNNNNNNNNNNNNNNNNNNNNNNNNNNNNNNNNNNNNNNNNNNNNNNNNNNNAGAGAGGAGGUGAGCGGCACCUCGACCCGGCUUGACCCAUCUCUCCGCGAACCACUGCCGAACGGCCUCCAUCACGAUACGAAAAUUAAAGUCUUCGUUAAUGUGCCACGGUGCUGUCAAAUCCAUUUUCAUGGUUUCCGAGAUUCCUCGGCCAUCCAGGCGGAAUAACGAAGCCUAAACGUACCUUUCUUUAAUAACUCGCAACGGCUCGACAAUCGACGAACGCGACUUCGCCAACAGCGCGUUCGUUUACCUAGCAAUAUAGGUUUACAUAGGGUCAUUUAGAUCAAACCCAUUACACUUUAUAAAACCCGCAAAAUUGGAGCCCUAACAUGCUACUAUUUGCCAAUAAAGCUUCAAAGAUUGAUUCAGUGAUUCAGACAGAUUAGCAUGUAGAUAUCAUAUAGAGAGUCCUUUAAAUCCAUUCUAGAGCAUAUAAUUAAAGCUCUAAGGUUCUUAACCAUUUUUAAAACAUUCCUAUCUGUACACUAUCUCCAAUUAACUUUCAAUUAAAAGGAUUCAAUAUGCUAAUGCACACAUUAAGGCUAUAGAACACUAAACAUUAAGGAGUUAAGGCAAAAUCCUAAAAGCUUCCUGCAAUGAUGAAGCCCGGCGAGAAACACGCCGCUCCACAGGGCGCACGGAAAGCUCAAUGCCGUCGCUCCUAACGCGUUCGCAAGCAUCUUCUCCACCAACACGCGGACGGCGACCUCGACUCCCAAUUUAGGAGAGAUAAUAGAGAGAUGUAGAGAGAAUCUCUAGAGAAGACGAAGGGAGGGUUCCCUCCCAUCGCCAUGCGCCGCAGGUCGUGUGUGUGGUGGUGUGUGGCGACUGAAGGAGAAGUAAGAAGAGUCAACACGUCCCUCUUGUUAGUCAACACCACAACACUGAGUUCACUCGCCGCGCAGAGCUGUUUACAGUUCGGCAUAUAGUUGAGGCGCGCUUCCUGAAUUCCGUUGACGCUAUAUGUUGACAUAUCAUGUGAUGCUAGUGGUAUAUGUGCAUGAUGACAUAUUAUGAAUUAACAUAUUGUGGAUUAUGUUAAAUAGAAAAACAUACUUGAUGACAUAUUGCCAUAUUGUGGAACAUAGUAGAUGGAAAUGUAUGCAUGUUGAUAUACCUUGAGAUAUGAGUUGAUAUAUAUGCAUGUUGAUAUAUUGUGGACUAUGUUAAAUAACAUAUGCAUGUUGAAUUUGGGUCUAUACCUCUUGGAUGGUUAGAAAACUCGACGUUGGAAAACAAUGACGUAUGAACUAUGAUAUGUGACGUGGACAAUCUAUAUAUAUUAGAUCGAGUGGCAUAUGAUUAGUAUAGUGGAAACACUUAUGGCAUGUUGAACACUUAGAAAACAAAUGUGGCAUGAGUCUAAGAAUAUAGUAGUAUAUAUGACACAAGUGAUAGUAAAGAAUGCAAAAAAAGAAUGAUUGAAAUAUUAUGACAUUUCAACCCUAGAGUUAGGGUCAUUUGAGCAUAGUCUUCCUAAAGUUAGGAAAUAGAUUGAACUUGACAUUCUCAAGAUUUUGGAUUUGAUCAUUGAUCAUACUCACCUUUAGUCCUUGCUCGAGGUUGUGGUAGCUCCUCCUCGGGCGAUGUGCUCCGGAGUCGACAUCACUGAGUGUAGCGAGUAUCUCCCCAUAGGACGGUCCCAUCGGGUGUAGCGAGUAUCUCCCCGAUUAUUGGGAUUUUGAGUUGGUGAGUUUGUUGAGGGCGAAACUUUCGGGUUAGCCAAGAGAUUGGGUAACAAGCACAUGAGUUGUAGCAAUAUCCGAGUUGAGUGAACUUAAGGCUGAGGUGCAAGUGAGACGUCAUUCGCCUCGAGCCUGGCUUUACGCGGUACUCCGCGAAUGAUUGACUCGAGACCGAGUCUGGUGGAUAGUUUAUAAAGGUAAAUGAGACCCUAUGAUCAAAAUUGUAAUUGUUAUGAGUUUAAAAUAGAGAAAUAACUUCGAGGUCAAUUGAAUGAGCUAUAAAUAACAGGAUUAAAGUAGUAUCGAUUGAACUACUAAUUGGUUGCAUAAAUUGCAUGAUUUUCAUAUUGCAUGGUUGUGAGGCAUGACAUGUAUUUCAAUUAUCGCAUAUAUAUAUGUAUCUGUUGGAUAUUUGUUGGACUAACAUGUUGCAGUGCCUCCCUUGGACCUAUUGGUCGAGCUUUUCCCUUGGGUCGCCGUACCCACUGGGAACCAUGGAGUUGGUUCUCACCCCACGUUGUUUUGGGGUAUUACAGAUUCACACGUGAGCGACGCAGCGGCGCGAGGCAAGGGCGUAGCUUCAUAGUUAGCGCCCUACCACCAAGACCAGAGAUAGCGGUACACCGAGUCAGCCUAGCUAGGGGUGUAGAAGAAAAGAAAAGGAAAGAAUAAACAAUGUUGUAAUAAUUUUGAUUGUAUUUGGAAGUUAAAUAUAAAAUGUAAUAGUAAUGUAAAGUAUGUCUAGUGAAUGUGAAUGCUUGUAAUAACAAGUAGAUUAUGUUUUUGAUACUUCCUUAUACAAUCUUUGAUUGAAACGUGUUCCUGGUUGGAACUUUGUACAUUGUAUUGAUUGCGACGCCUUGAAUGUACAGGGGAGACUCUGUCCGCGGUACAGGGGAAACCCUGUCCGUUCGGCGAUCUGUCGGCGGCGCCGCGACCCGGCCAAAUAGGCAGGCGAUCGCGGGGCGUGACAAUUACAUCAACGGUUCUGAUCAUCGAUUCGCGAUCUCUAUCAUCAAAAACAAUUUGAUAGGACGAAGGUCCCUAUCCUGAUAAAGGAUAGCAAUUGGAUUUUAUAUAUAUAUAUAUAUAUAUAUAUAUAUAUAUAUAUAUAUAUAUAUAUAUAUAUAUAGAAAAAUAAUUGAUUACCCUAAAAGUUUAUACCUUAUAUCUAAUACUUUUUUAGUAAUUUAAGCUGUAAUCAGUUUUUUAUAUAAUAUUAGAGUAGGAGAUUUUCAAAUUCAAAUUUUAUAAAAUGACCGUCAAAUAAAUUUAGCGACAAAUAUAAAGAUUUGAUUUUUAAUAUCCCUCAGUUGCUUGUGCCAGUCACUUACAUAAAUUAAGUUGACUCAUUAAAUUGUUUCCUUAACUUUUCCAAUUGAAUCGUACAUACAUAGUGGACCACAACUAGAGAAAUUAAUAUUCGAAAUAUAUAUAUAGUUAAUUUCUUGGGCAAAAGCAAUGAUAUUUAACUCCAAAUUUACAAUUAAUUAAAAGAAAAAAUUUAAAAAUAUUCAAAAAGGUGUUCAUGAAAUUCAGAGAGGGGCUCCACAAAUUCACAUGCACUCAUUAAGCCAUUAUCCCAAUCAAAAAUAAUUUGUAAACAAAUACAUUAAUGCUUAUUUUAUAUUACAGCAAAUAAUAAUGCCCUUGGGUACUGUUACAUUUGUAGCAUGCAAUAUUAAAAAUAAAACAUAUAAUAAAUGCUUAUUAUUCUAACUAAUGGUGAUUAUUUUUUAUCAUAAGGUGAUCAUUGCUCUUUUAUUUUCUCUCUUUUAGCAUGGUGUAUAGAUAAAAUUUUUAAUUAAGUUGGGAUAAUAAUAAUAAUAAUAAUAAUAAUAUGAAAUAUCGUAAAAUUUUCAUGCUCUUAGCUAUUUGGGAUUGAAUAUAUCGAUCUAAUAGAUCUGGAACCGAUCGAAUAUAAUAAUAGUUUUAACAUUCUUGCUGACGUAUUUAGUAAAAAAUCAAAGAUACCAAAUAGAGUCGAUUUUGAUUUAUCAUAUUUAUAUUUGUGUAGAUUCCACCCAAAAAUAGGAAACUUGAAUAAGGAAUUAUUAUAAUGAUUCAUUUUUCAAUAAUAGAUUAACAUAAAUUUGUAACUGUCAUACAAUAAUUAAUACUUCAAAAUCAAAAUUGUUACAUAUGAAUUAUUUCAUAGAGAAAUUUUGUAUUUAUCUCUAAACAUAAUAAUCAGUACCUAAACAACUACAAGAAAUUGUUAAAAGAGUCUAGGGUGUUUAAUAAACAAAAAAGAGUGUAAAUUAAGGUCUCUAUUGGUGUUUUGUGGGGACAAGGAGGGAAGUGUCAGGUGAGGAAAUUAAACUUUGGUGGGUAUUUAUUUAUCUCUUNCUGUUAGUAUGCGAUGGAUGCCCAGAUUAGUGUCGGAUGAGGUUACGCUUGUGCUGGGAUGCCGAGUUUAUUUUUACAGUAGUGUGUAGACUAUUUCGGACUGUCAGGUGCCGUCGCGGUUGACAUUGGACCCAAAUUUCUGUAUUUGCAUCAGAUUGUGCCAAGGGCACGUGAGCUUUGGUUGUUAGACCAGUUAGACCCAUUUGCUUUGAUUAUAGCCUGUGAGUGCCUGAUUGAGCUCAGCAGAGACACGCUUGCAAACUCAAUUGGGUAGCGCCCACGAGUGCCACUCCGGAGUCGGGCUUUGUGCGUUUGCGUUGAUGUCGUAGUGUCCGGGUUGGACUUGCUCUCCACCGACAAUCCAGCGUGGUGGUUGUUGGUGUAGCUUCGACAGGCGGGAUAGGUCCGUUCACAGUCCCCAGUGAGUUUGGGUCAGAGAUUGCAUUUUUGUUAUAUCUACAGAUAGCCAGUGUUGGUUAGCGAUAGUAUAGUGGCAUAUAGCUGUAAGGUUUCCAGCUUUCCUUACUAUCUUUUACGCACUUUUCUGUAGACCUAGUGGGUGAACCGUUGAGGUUGGUGACAGUACCCACUGAGUAGUACUUCUUUUUGCAGUAGUUCUCACACCCAGUUGUUGACCCUUUUUGCAGAGCCUUUGUCCGCGGCUGCUGCUGACGCUGUUUCUGAUCAUGGAAAGGGAGUCACGAGCUAGAUCCCUUCCCUGGUUACUGUGCUAGAGGAGUACCUUCCAUAGGUAGUUUUGGGGCAUUUUGUACAUAUGGUCUUGUUGUCUGUGUACUCGCUAGAGUGAGUGGUGUAGUAGAUAUUUUGCAUGUACCGGAACCCCUCGAGGUUUUAUAUAUAUGUGUUCAGUUUAGCAGCUCUAUACUACUGGUUGUAGUUUUGUAUGAUUACAGGUACAGCUAUCGCUUCGUAUACAGGAAAAAUUUCUAUGUAUACGGCGGGUCUGUUGGAGUGCCCGAGGAAACGUAUAAUCCGGGGCGUGACACUUUUGAUCAAUAGCCAAAUAAUGUCGAAAAAUUAUGAAAUUUAGUUUUCAAAUACUUUUAAUAAUGUAGAUCAAGUCUAAUGGAGCUGAGCGUCGAUUUGAAAGCUGCAUUAUUGAAAAUAACUUGGUAGCACGGAGACCUCCGAGCUAUACCAAUAGUAUACUAGCCUAGUUCUCUCUCUCUCCCUCCCCCCCUCCCCUCUAAUAUAUAUAUAUAUAUAUAUAUAUAUAUAGGCUAAUGCUACUAUCCUAUUAAUAGGAUAGGAGCACUUGUCCUAUCAAGUUGUUCUUGAUAAUCGAAAUUCCGAAUCGAUGAUCGAAGCCGUUGAAGUUAAUCUAGAGUAUUUGAAAUAUCUAGAAACUAAAUUUCAUAAAUUUUGAUAAUGGUUUACAUGGUGAUCAAAGUGUCGUAAAAUCGACAAUUUUUUACGGCCUAUAUGAGCCGUUUGCUUGUUUAACGAUGUAGAGCAAUCUAAAUUGCUUGAAUUUUUGAUAGAAAAUUCUUUAUACUAUUUAGAUAAUGUUUGAUAACUCUGAUUACGAACUGAGAAAGUCUAACCUCUAUUUUAAGAAGGUUAUUCAUUUAUGACCGUUCAUUUUUCAACUCUUAAGAUGAACUUGAUAAUAAUUUUUAAAAUAAUACAAAUUGGUUUAAACAUUUCUAAUUAGUGUAGAUCAACUUCAACCGGUGUCCGAUGUAUCAAUUUGAAGUAUCGAUCUUCAAAUCGACUUUGAUAGGCAAGGGUCCCAAUCCUAUUAAUAGGAAUAGUAGCUGGACUCCUUAUUAUAUAUAUAUAUUAUAUAUAUAAUAUAUAUAAUAUAUAUAUUAUAUAUAUAGAGUGAGUUCUACUAUGCUAUCGGAUAGCACGGAGCCUUCCGUGCCUUCCAGGCUCGUUUUAUGAUGUGCGACUUUCGAAUCGUCGAUCGGCUCCGUUAAACUGAUCUAGAGUAUUUUGAAGUACCUAGAAAAUAAAUUUAUGAUUUUAGAUAUCAUUUGCCUAUGAACGAAGGGGCUCAAAAUUCAACUGACUGAAAAUAAAAAAUCGGUACAAAUAAAUAAUAUGACAUUAAAAUUUUAAAUCACAAGAUAUUGAUCUUGUUUUAUUAUAGUAUAAAGGAUAUUUUCUAUCAAAAAUUUCGCGCGUGAUUUGGAUAUUUCUACACCUGUUAACUUGCAAACGGCUCACUACGGCCAAUUUGAAAUUUGUUGAUUUGCAGCCCCUUGGCUUCAUAGGAAAUUGAUAUCGUAAAUCAUUAAAUUUUAUUUUCUAGGUACUUCAAAUUACUUUAGAUCAAGUUUACGGAGUCUUCGAAUCGACUGAUUCGAAAGUCGCACAUCGGAAAACGAUAGCUGGAAGCACGGAAGGCUCGGUGCUUUCCCUUCCCAAGAUAGCAUAAGUAGCCUUUCACUAUAUUUAUUAUAUAUAUUAUAUAUAUAUAUAUAUAUUAUAAUAUAUACUAUAUAUAUAUUAUGCUUAGUGAGGCCCCUUUAGUUCUAUAUAUAUAUAUAUUAUAUAUAUAUAUAUUAUAUAUAUAUAUAGAAUUAUGGCUACUAUACUAUCAGAGCCAGAGCGCUCCCGUUGCUACCCGAGUUGUUUUUCGAUGUGUGGCUUCUAACAUCGACGAUCGGCUCGUUUGGACUUAUCUACACUAUGAAAAAGUUAUUAGAACUAAUUUCAUAUUUUUCGAUAUUAUUUAUCUUUAUCAACAAGUAGUUUAAAAUUGAACGGCUGAAAAUAAAAAUCUCAUGAAAAUAAUGAUAAAGAGCGGGGGUUUUUAAAUUCAUAUGAUCAGAUAUAUUUGAUCUUUACUUAAAUAGUGAAAAGAAUUUUCUAUUUUAAAAUUUUUCAGUCGCAUUUGAUUAGUUUUUACACGUAUAAAUACUCACCAAACACACCACAUCGACCAUUAAAAUUGUCAAUUUUGAGAAUCAUUUUUGAUCACUAGUCAAAUGAUGUCGAAAAAUCUGAAAUUUAGGUUUCAAAUACUUGUCAAUAGUGUAGAUUCAAGUCUAACGGAGCGAUCGUCGAUUUGGAAGACGCCAUCAUCGAAAAACAACUUGUGCACGGAAGUGCUCCGUUGUACGAUAGAAAUAGUAGCCGGACUCUAUAAUAUAUAUAUAUAUAUAUAUAUAUAUAUAUAUAUAUUUAGAGAGAGAGAGAGAGAGAGAGCGGGAGAGAGAGAGAGAGAAGAGCUCCGACUACUAUUUAUCGUUAGUCCAAGCCCUUGGUACUAUUAGAUUUCUACCAGUUAGAUUCUGCCCCUUUGGAUCAUUUUCACCCGUUAGAUUAUUUUAUAUUAAACCAACCACGACUGAACCAGAGGGGACCACUAUAUCCUAACCGCACAUGCUUAUUCCAAACGGCGGAAAAUCAAUAGUACUCAAAGCUAGGUACUAUGAUAGUAUAGUAAGCAUAAUUCUAUAUAUAUAUAUAUAUAUAAUAUUAUACUAAUAUAUAUAUAUAUAUAUAUAGUGAUAAUAUGAUGAGAGAGAGAGCAGAGAUGGAGAGAGAAGAAUGAGAGAGAGAUGAGCGGCGCGCGAUAGGCUGGAAUACUAUUAUAGCAAAAAUUCUUUUUGCUAUCGAAGUUAACCCUGAAGAGAAUAUAUGGUAGGAGAUAGUCCAGGGAGAGCCCAGGAGUGGUCCCCAGUAUCAUAUUAUCAAUUGUUAAAUUGAUGAAAAAAUUGUCCAAAGGCUAAAAAACUUUAAUAGCAAAAAGCUGAAUGUAUUAGCCCAAACUCUCCUUACUCUCUCUCUCUCUCUUCUCUCUCUCUUCUCUUCUCUUAUAUAUUAUAUAUAUAUAUAUUAUAAUAUAGUGCGUGAUGCCUGGAAGAUGGAGCGGCUCCGUGUUCUAAGUCGUUUUGAUGUUGAGGAGACGACGCACGAUUGAUCUAGGAGUAUGUUAGUAUCUAGAAAAAAAUUUUUGUGAUUUUUAUAUUCAUUGCCUAUGACGAAUGAAAUUCACAUAAACCAAUCUCCUAUUUGUGUCCCCGAUUGCGCUGAGCAGUUGCGGCACCACGGGCUAGUAUGAUACAUGACGCGCCUAGCGAUAAAGACGACUACAGCAAAAUAAGAGAGGUACGACACAGCAAGGGUGGCGCAUUGCAAGACACGUAUGGUAUGUUGGAUGGAAAAAGAGUGAUAAGAUGGACACCACAAGUAACGUUAACCAUACGAAUCCUAGGGAAAUCUCGGUCAUAGCCCGUUAAAUAUAAUUCUCAAGACAGCGAUUUAUAAUUCUUUGUCGUAUGGGUGGUAGCAGCUCGAGAGAUUGACCUUGACAUGAAGUUUCUUGAACAACUUGCCACAAAAUAGACUAAAAUGAAAAAUCGGGUCUUUAUCGUUACAAUACUUCUGUAGAUAACCCUAGCAACAAUAAAUGUUUGCAUACGACCAAAAUGCUUAGCUAUUAUUAUUACUUAGUGUUAAGUUUUUAUAUAUCAAUAAUUACCCCCCCUAUUGGGAUGGGGACAGACUUCCCUCGAAGACGAGUCUCGUAGAACACACACACAGCCAAGAUACCUACCGAUGUGCAGAUCGUCUCUCGAGCUGUCAUCGAGAAGGUCACCUUCUAUACAGACGGAUAGCUAAUCCGCUUAUCUUUAGACCUGGAUCAGUGAGACUCGCACAUUUCUCGGCUGGUAAUUGCUGAUACCAAAUGUAAAACCCGUACGCAAAAUAAGGAACAACAUCGACCCAAAAUACUUAUAGCCAGUUAUUAGAUUACUAGUGCCUUAAGUCUCUUAUAUAGCCAAUCAUUCCCAUUCCUAUCAUGUAGAAUUAUGGGUGUGACACGCAUCGGAGUUGUAGAUUUGUUCAUAAAUUCUUCGGAGCAUAGAAGAAGCAGUGUUAGGGUGGAAAUGCUAUGAAAUUAAGGUAUUGCUCAACCUAUCCCACGACUAUGUUACCUCCUUCUGGUAAAGACACUGCUCAAUCCUUCGAUAAAUUCAUGAAAAUUCCAUCCAAUGUAUUCAGGUAUGGUAGGGGUUGUAGAAAGACCCGCCGGUUCUGCUGUUUUUCAUACUUUAUUUGCGAUAACCGGGCAUUCUCGAAUAAUUGAUCAACAGUUAUUUGUUUAAUUCUCUCAGUUAGAAGUAAAUCCUUAACACUCCUGGUUUGUUGGCUUCCGAACGGACGUGACCCUAAGCCGUGGAAAUGGAUCUCAGUGUCACGAGUAUGCAACUGUAACCGGAGGUCAUUACCCAACUACUAGUUUCCUUUUCUCUUAGUUUGGUUCUGAGCAUAUGGUGUAGUGCGGCCCAAGAUUUUGGAUCUUGUUGCUUGCUGCUAUAAUGGUUUUAACUGUUAUUCUGACUUCCAACUGGAUUGAAUUUGAUCCAACAUAUCGGUUCCCAUACUGAAAUUGUUGCAAGGUAGGUGAUCUAGAUAAGGGCAAUCAGGCGACCACAUUGUUGUUCAUUUUAUUAUUUACUAUUUCUAAAUACAACCCAUUAGCUUAGAAAGCCAUUUGCUGGCUGGGGUAGAUAUUUUUUGUCUAUAAGAAUUUUAAACUUUGAUGAUCAGUCUUAUUCUUAAAAUGCGUCCAACUAGGAUAUGGUUCCAUUUUUUGUUUACCGCAUUACUAUUGCUAACAUUUCUCAUCGUUUAAGCUAACAGCAAUCGAAUUUGUUGGGGAUAAUGGCUUGCUUCAAAUGCAAUUGGUUUGGCCUUUUUGUUACGAAAACUCCACUACCCCUACUUCCUGGAUGCCAUUGUUCGACAAAUAAAUUCCGGUUGCAAUAAUUAGGUAGUGCAAUGCUUGGGCGGUAGAAGAUUUGCCACUUUUAGUGUUUGAAGCUUUAGAUACGCUUUACAUCAGUCCAUUUUAAAACCCAUUAUUUUGGCUAAAUAAUCAUGCAAGGGCUUGCUUAUUUUCCCAAAAUAUUUUAAACAAAGUGUCUAUAAUAACUGCUUAUAUCCCAAGAACACCGCAAUUCUUAUUAUGAAGAUUGGGAGUUCCAUUGCAGAAUAGCUAUCGAUUUUCUUUGUCUCCCAUGCGCUUUCCUAAAUGAAGAUCAGGCGAAGUUACUGCCAAAUGUGAUUUCUCCCUCCCACGCUUCGCAGGAUUAGGUAUGUGCUAGAUAUCAAAAAGUAGUGCGAAGAUGUUGAAGAUGUUCUCUGCCUUUAUUGUAGAUGAGAAUAUCAUCAAAAAAAUACCAGAUAAAUGCCUUAGAUAGUUAAUAAAGUUCAUACUCUGAAACGUAGACACACUGCCACUCGCGUGUGUCCACAAGCGGCAUCACACGCAAUUCGUUUAGUGACCUCAUCUGUGUGCGAUAAUGUUGUCUUAGCAAUGUCGGACCUGUGCAGUUCGGAUUUGAUUUGGUAAAUGAUCGUAAAAUCUAGUUUAGAAAGUGAGAUUGAAACCCGAGUUAACUCAAUAAUCAUCACCAAUGGUUAUUAGGAAAUUAUCCUUGAUCGAUGUUGUCGUGAGGCGCCCUGUAAUUACGCAUAGCCGCCCGACCUUUUUUUUUCUAACUUUAGCACUUUACCGGGCGACGAGUAGGGGCUAUUUGCUCAGUCUUAAUUAUUCCUGAUUUAGCAUUUUUCUGUCCAAUCUUCUCAAUUUUUCAAUUUUUUAAUAUGCAGGAGUAUCUAUAUGUUAAACGUUAACUUGGGUUCGCCCCGUCUUUUAAAGGCGAUUUGUGGUCUUGUACUCUUUUGUGGCUGGCAGACCCUACGGUUCAACGAAUAGAUCAGAAUAUUCCUCAGAAGCAAUUGAAUCUUUUCGAAACAGGUUUAUCUUAACCCUUUCCCACUCAGUUCCCGUACUUCAACUAAUUCUGUUUUGAAUAUAUCUUGGAUUAGCCAAUGUAUAGAGCAUAUGUGCGUAUGCAGAACAAGAUGUGUUUCCUUGUAUAUUUUAUGAGUUCCUCCUCCCUGUUUUUUCAUUACAACUUGUCUCUUGCGAGCUCGCGAGGCACCUUUUUGGUUUCGCUGGAAAUGGAAUUCCCAUUGCGUAGUUUGCUUGAAAUCCCACAAAAUGGCCUCUAAUUGUAUGAGCCAUUGUAUUCUUUAGCACCAUAUAACCUUCAAGGCCUCCCAGGUAGAGAGGCGACACGAAUUGACGUACUCUCACGGUAUAAUUUCUUAUUUUCCGUGGCGAGUAUAUUCAUGAUUCAGAUUAAUUAUUUAAUUAUAUAUGAUUCAGUAUGAAGACGACUUCCAAAAACGCAAGCGGAACAGUUUAGGGUACCUUUCGAUUUUAAGAGGACCUCUGUAAUGCCUGAAUAGACAUGAAUUUUGAGUAAAAGAUGGAUUUUAUAACACAAUCCAUUGUAUAGUUAGGCUUAAACCAUGGGCAUACCAGUGUACAAUGAUGUAUAUAUGAUAUAAAGAGCAAAUGAUUAGUUCAACAGACAUAAAUGGUCCAAUUGAACUUAAUUUGGAUUACACUAUAGUUUUAAAGGGUUAAUCCAAUUAGAAUUUAAAUAAUCUAGUUGUAUGUAAGAUUUAGUGGGUUUGAAUCGAUUAACUCUAAUUGUAUGUGUCAGAGUCAAUCGGUUUAGUCACCAUAUAGCAGGAAAAUUCUAUUGUAUUAGAAAGCCGAUUUGAUAUAGAUUAACUCUAAUUUAUACAUAUUAGAAGUGUAAUUAAUUUAUUGAACAUCUAAGCAAUGUAUAUUUAUAGGAGAAGAGAUCUAAGUUGAAGGAUUGGCUUAAUAAAAUAUUAGGAUUAGCCAAAAUUGAUUUAAAUUAAACUCUAAUUAUACAUAUUAGAGUCUAACUUGGUUUCUUUUGUUUGAACUCUAAGUAAAUGUAUUAGAGUCCAAUCGAUUUAAUUAUUUUUACCUUAGUCAUAUAUACUAAGAUAAAAAGACGAUUUGAUCAAUUCUAAGCAUAUAUUUAGAAUUUGAUCGAGUUUGAAUAUAGUUGUGAUUUGACUCUAGUUUUAUAUGCUAGAGAAUCGGGUUGAAAUAGUUUGUUUCUAAGGACUUGGUAUAGAGAAGAGGUUGGAUUAGGUUGUGCAUGACUUGGGUUUGAGGUUAGGUUUGGACUUUGAUUUGGUUAUUAUGGUAUAGGUUUCAUAUAUGGCUUGUCAAAUUUGGAUUGGAUUGGAAUUAAAGAUUGGGUUCAGCUUGGAUCAAUCCGAAUUAAAUAAUUGGGUUGGGUUUAUAUUUAGUCUUGGACAUGAAUUUGGGCUCAUUUGGAGAUAUAAUUAGGCUGAGUUUAUAUUUGGCCUUGGACAUGAACUUAGGCCCAUUCGGAGAUAUAAUUGGGCUGGGUUUAUAGUUGGUGUUGGACAUGAACUUGGGCCCAUUCAAAGAUAUAACUGGGCUGGGUUUAUAUUUGAUCUUGAACAUGAAUCUGGGCCGAUUCGGAGAUAUAAUUGUGCUGGGUUUCUAUUUGGUCUUGGACAUGAACUUAGGCCCAUUCGGAGAUAUAAUUGGAUUGGGUUUAUAUUUAGUCUUGGACAUGAACUUGGGCCCCUCCAGAGAUAUAAUUGGACUGGGUUUACAGUGUUAAGAUUAAGCCCGUACAGCUUAUUCAAACUUGAGAUUUCAACAGAAAAUUUCAAAGACACUUUGAAAUCACGUUUUAAAUUUGGGUUUCAAAUCCAUAGAUAAAUCCUCAUUUAGUGUGUGUGUGAGUAUAUAUAUAUAUAUAGUAUUUGAAAAGAGUUCAAAAAUUCAAGAUAAUUUAAGUUUUGAAUUUUUAAUUCAAAACAUAAUGAAUAAAUAAAUAACAAAUAUUUUCUUUCUUCCGUCUCCCAUCUUAGAGUAACAAUAAUAAUAAUUCCUCGCCUCCUUUUUGCAAUAUUUAUCAAUAUGAGCAUUAAUUAAUAUAGUCGGCAACGGCGCAGUGUUCAUGGCGAUCACCAAAUUAAAUUGAUUAUGUACAUAUAUGUCUCUCCUGUUUUUUUUUAACGACAAAAAGUUCUGAUCCUCAAUCGUCGUCGUAGAACGCAUGAAAGACUUCAAAGCAGAAUCAGACUUGAAAAUUAAGCCAAAUCCGCAAAGCACCAAAAUAAUUACUUUAUCAAUACAGGCUGNCUGGUAUGCUUCUGGAAGCAUGGAGCGCUCCGUGCUUCUAAGUCGUUUUCGAUGUUGAGACUUUUGAAUCGACGAUCAGCUCCGUUGUACUUGAUCUAGAGUAUUUUAAGUAUCUAGAAAAUAAAUUUUGUGAUUUUUUUAUAUCAUUUGCCUAGUGAUCGAAUUGUAAAUUCACAUAAACCCAAUCUCCUAUUUGUAGUUCCCUUUCCGAUCUUCCCUUGUUAGCUAGUUGUCGCAUCCUAUUCUGGGCCUUAGCUAGAUUAUCCUUUAUUACUCGUACAGCCGCCUCUCUAGCCGAUAAAGUACGAUCUACAGCUUCAAACGAUGAGUAGCCAGCCAGGUACGACACAUGCAAGGGUGGCGCUUGCCCAUAGACCACCUCGUAUGGAGUAGUUUGGAUGGAAGAGUGAUAAGAUGUGUUGUACCACCACCAUUCAGCUAACGGUAACCAUCACGACCACUCCCUAGGGAAAUCUCCGGUCAUGCACCGUAAAUAUAAUUCUCAAGACAGCGAUUUAUAACUUCUCUUUGUCCGUCCAUUUGUGGGUGGUAGGCAGUCGAGAGAUUGACCUUCACAUGAAGUUUCUUGAACAACUUGCACCAAAAUAGACUAAUGAAAAUCGGGUCUUUAUCGCUUACAAUACUUCUGUAACGACUCAACCCCCUAGCAACAAUAACUCGUUGGGCCCAAACACCGACCCAAAAUGCUUAAGCCUAGUUAUUAUUACUAGUGUCUAAGUUUCUUAUAUAUCCAAUCACAUCCUCAUUCCUAUUCGAUAUGGGAUUAUUGGGGUGUGACAGACUCCCCCCGUUAAGACCCUGACGUCCUCGUCAGUCCAAUCACACACACAGCCCAAGAUCACCAGGCGAUGUGAGACUCGUCUCGCUAGCCUUGUCAUCCAGACCCUGGCAUAGUCGGUCACCUUCUCAUACAGACUCCGGUAUAGCCUAUCACCUUAUCUUUCAGACCCUGGCUCAGCUGAGACUCGCCACACAUUUUCGGCUGGUAAUUGGCUUUGAUACCAAAUGUAACGACCCAGCCCACUAGCAACAAUAACUCGUUGGGCCCAAACAUCGACCCAAAAUACUUAAGCCCAGUUAUUAUUACUAGUGCCUAAGUCUCUUAUAUACCCAAUCAUAUCCCCAUUCCUAUCCGAUGUAGAAUUAUUGGGGUGUGACAACUUCUUGGCAAUUCGUGUAGCUUGUAGAUAUUGUUCAUAAAUUCUUGAGCAAUAGAAGAAGCAGUGUAAGGGUGGGAUAAUGCUAUGAAUUAAGCGUACUUGCUCAACCUAUCCACCACGACCAUGAUUACCUCCUUCUGGUAAGACACUGUCAAUCCUUCGAUAAAAUUCAUGAAAAUUUCCAUCCAAAUGUGUUCAGGUAUUGGUAGGGGUUGUAGAAGACCCGCCGGUGCUGCUGUUUCAUACUUAUUUUGCCGAUAAACCGGGCAUUCUCGAAUAAAUUGAUCAACAGUUUGUUUUAACUUCUUCCAGUAGAAGUAACUCCUUAACCUCCUGGUUGUUGCUUCCGAACCGGAGUGACCCCCUAAGCCGCUGGAAUGGAACUCAGUGACGAGUUGCAACUGUAACCCGGGGUCAUUGCCAACUACUAGUUUCCUUUUCCUCUUAAGUUGGUUCUGAGACUAUGUGUAGUGCGGCCAAGAUUUUGGAUCUUGUUGCUUCUGCUGUAUAAUGGUCUUUAACUUGUUAUCUGACUUCCAACUGGACUUGAUUUGAUCCAACAUAUCGGUUCCCACUACUGAAAUUGCUUGCAAGGUAGGUGAUCUAGAUAAGGCAUCGGCGACCACAUUGUCUGUUCCAUUCUUAUAUACUAUUUCAUAAUCAAACCCCAUUAGCUUAGAAAGCCAUUUUUGCUGGCUGGGAGUAGAUAUUUUUUGCUCCAUUAAGAAUUUUAAACUUUGAUGAUCAGUCCUUAUCUUAAAAUGCCGUCCAACUAGAUAUGGUCUCCAUUUUUGUACCGCAAUUACUAUUGCUAACAUUUCUCACUCGUAAGCUAACAGCAAUCGAUUUGUUGGGGAUAAUGGCUUGCUCAAAUGCAAUUGGUUGGCCUUUUUGUAGCAAACUCCACCUACCCCUACUCCGGAUGCAUUCGUCUCGACAAUAAAUUCGGUUGCAAAAUUAGGGAGUGCCAAUGCUGGGGCGGUAGAGAUUGCCACUUUUAGUUGUUGAAAAGCUUGAUAGCUUACAUCAGUCCAUUUAAACCCAUAUUUUGCUAACAUAUCAUGCAAGGGCUUGCUUAUUUUCCCAAAAUUUUUAACAAAGUGUCUAUAAUAACCUGCUAAUCCCAAGAACACCCGCAAUUCUUUUAUUGAAGAUGGAGUUGUCCAUUGCAGAAUAGCUUCGACUUUUCUUUGUCUCCAUUGCGACCCUUUCCUGGCUAAUAAUAUGACCCAGAUAUUCCAGGCGAGCUACUGCAAAUGUGCAUUUCUUCCACUUGAGGAAUAAGGUAUGUUGCCUAAGAAUAUCAAAAGUAGUCCGAAGAUGUUGAAGAUGUUCCUCUGCUCCUUUAUUGUAGAUGAGAAUAUCAUCAAAAAAUACCAGAAUAAAUCGCCUUAGAUAGGGUUUAAAAAUAAGGUUCAUCAACCCUUGAAACGUAGAAAGUGCAUUGGUGAGUCCAAAGGGCAUCACCAAGAAUUCGUAGUGACCCUCAUGUGUGCGAAAUGUUGUCUUAGCAAUGUCGGCCUCGUGCAUCCGGAUUUGAUGGUAACCUGAUCGUAAAAUCUAGUUUAGAAAAGUGAGUUGAACCCCCGAGUUCAUCCAAUAAUUCAUCCACCAAUGGUAUAGGAAAUCUAUCCUUGAUCGUGUUGUCGUUGAGGGCCCUGUAAUCUACGCAUAGCCGCCACGACCCUUUUUUUUUUUAACUAGCACUACCGGGGACGAGUAGGGGCUAUUGCUCAGUCUAAUUAUUCCCUGAUUUAGCAUUUUCUGUACCAAUCUCUCAAUUUCAAUUUUUUAAUAUGCAGGGUAUCUAUAUUGUCUAACGUUAACUGGGUUCGCCCCGUCUUUUAAAGGAAUCUUGUGGUCUUGUACUCUUUUGGGCGGCAGACCCUACGGUUCAACGAAUAGAUCAGAAUAUUCCCUCAGAAGCAAUUGAAAUCUUUUUACGAACAGGUCAUCUAACCCUUCCCACUCAGUUCCCGUUACUUCAACUAAUUCUGUUUGAAUCAUAUCUUGAGUAGCCACAUGUAUAGAGCAUAAGUGUACUGCAGAACAAGAUGUGUUUCCUUGUAUCAUUUUCAUGAGUUCCUUCCUGUUUAUCAGUUACAAACUUGUCUCCUGCGAGCCUCGAAGCACCACCUUUUGUUUCCUGAAAUGGAAUUCCAUGCGUAGUUGCUUGAAAUCCCACAAAAUAGGCCCUAAUUGUAUGAGCCAUUGUAUUCUUAGCACCAUAUCACACCCCUUCAAGGGUAGUGUCUGCGACCACGAAUGACGUACCUCUCACGGUUAAUCUUAUUUUCCGUGGGGUAAUAUUCAUGAUUCAGAUUAAUAUUUAAUUAUAUAUGAUUAUCAGGUAUUGUGGAUUCAUGACUUCCAAUAAACGCAAGCGUUUAUUGUUAAUUACCCCUUUAAAGUGUUAGGGUACCUUCGAUUAAGAGACCUCUGUAAUGCUGAAAUAGACUGAAAUUGAAUAAAAGAUGGAUUUUAUAACACAAUCCAUUGUAUAGUUACAUGGCUUAACCAGGGGCAUACCCCAGUGUACAUGAGUAUAAUAUGAUAUAAAAGAGAAAAUGAUUAGUUCAACGACAUAAUGGUCAAUUGAACUUAAUUUGGAUUACACCUAUAGUUUUAAAGGGUUAAUCCAAUUAGAUUUAACUAAAUCCUAGUUGUAUGUAUUAGGAUUUAGUUGGGUUUGAAUCGAUUAAACUCUAAUUGUAUGUGUCAGAGUCCAAUCGGAUUUGAGUCCACCAUAAGGUGCAGGAUGGCUAAAUCUAUAUGUAUUAGAAUUAGCCGAUUUGAUAUAGAUUAACUCUAAUUAUACAUAUUAGAGUCUAAUUAAUUUAAUUGAACUCUAAGCAUGUAUAUUAGAGUCCCACCAUAUUUGAGUUCACUCUAAGUUGAAGGAUGGCUAAAUACUAAAUAUAUGUAUUAGGAUUAGCCAAAAUUGAUUUAAAUUAAACUCUAAUUAUACAUAUUAGAGUCUAACUUGGUUUCAUUUGUUUGAACUCUAAGUAUAUGUAUUAGAGUCCAAUCGAUUUAAUUUGAUUAGGUGAAACCUAAUUCAUUAUUUUUACCUUAGUCAUAUAUACUAAAAUAAAAAGAUAGUUUGAUCAAUUCUAAGCAUAUAUUUAGAAUUUGAUCGAGUUUGAACAUGGUUGUGAUUGGACUAGUUUGUUUCUAAGGACUUGGAGAAGCGGUUGGAUUGAUAUAGUCCUAUAGUUAUGGCUUAGGACAAAUGUUGAUUUGAAUUUGGAUCAGGUUUUGUAUAAUUUGAAUUGGUUUAGAUUUGGAAUUUGAUUUUGAUUGACAUGAUCUGGGCUUGAGAUGUAGGUUGGCCAUUGGAUUUAGGCUUGGGUUGAGGUCAGGCCCGUAUAGUUUAGGUUUAAAAUCAAGCCUGGAUUAGAUUUAACAGGCUAUAUUUGGGUUCAGGCUCAAUGUGGGUUAGAAUAGUACAUGUCUGUCUGUUUGGGCCAAAUUUCGGCCCAUGUAGUUUGGGUUUAGCUUGGAUCAAUCCGAAUUAAAUAAUUGGGUUCGGUUUAUAUUUAGUCUUGGACAUGAACUUGGGCUCAUUCAAAGAUAUAAUUGGGCUGGAUUUAUGUUUGGCCUUGGACGUGGACUUAGGCCCAUUCAGAGAUAUAAUUGGGUUGGGUUUAUAUUUGGUGUUAGACAUGAACUUGGGCCCAUUCAAAGAUAUAAUUGGGCUGGAUUUAUAUUUGAUCUUGAACAUGAAUCUGGGCCCAUUCGAAGAUAUAAUUGUGCUGGGUUUCUAUUUGGUCUUGGACAUGAAUUGGGCCCAUUCGGAGAUAUAAUUAGACUGGGUUUACAGUGUUAAGAUUAGGCCCAUACAGCUUAUUCAAACUUGAGAUUUCAACAGAAAAUUUCAAAGACACUUUGAAAUCACGUUUUAAAUUUGGGUUUCAAAUCCAUAGAUAAAUCCUCAUUUAGUGUGUGUGUGAGUAUAUAUAUAUAUAUAGUAUUUGAAAAGAGUUCAAAAAUUCAAGAUAAUUUAAGUUUUGAAUUUUUAAUUCAAAACAUAAUGAACAAAUGAAUAAACAAAUAUUUUCUUUCUUCCGUCUCCCAUCUUAGAGUAACAAUAAUAAUAAUUCCUCGCCUCCUUUUUGCAAUAUUUAUCAAUAUGAGCAUUAAUUAAUAUAGUCGGCAACGGCGCAGUGUUCAUGGCGAUCACCAAAUUAAACUGAUUACGGACAAAUAUGUCUCCCUUUUUUUUUUUAACGACAAAAAGUUCCGAUCCUCAAUCGUCGUCGUAGAACGCAUGAAAGACUUCAAAGCAGAAUCAGACUUGGAAAUUAAGCCAAAUCCGCAAAGCACCAAAAUAAUUACUUUAUCAAUACAGGCUGCGGCUUCAUCAUAAUUAAUUGCCGAAUCCAUCAAGCACCAAAGCAAUUACUUUAUCAAUGCAAGCUACGGCUACAUCGUAAUUAAUUGCUGAAUCCGCAAAGAACCAAAGCAAUUACUUUAUCAAUACAAGCUGCAGCCACAUAUCUAUUCAUCAUAAUUAAUAUACAUCUCCUUAAUUUGCAUGCAUGUGAGGGAGCUUGUUCACGUAAUACACAUGUUAUUUCGCGCGGUAGAUGAGUGGAGACCGUUCUUCUCUUCUGCCGACCGCUAAGCGCCAAACGGAAGAUCGCCGGCUUCACGUCUUCUCCGUCAUCGUUGUCGACGCGCCGUUAAUUCCGUCAACGGCUAAGCGCCAAACGGAAGGUCGUCAGCUUCACGUCGUCUCCGUCAUGGUUGUCGAUACGCCGUUAAUUCCGCCAUGGUCGUCGAUGCGUCGUUAAUUCCGCCGACGGCUAAGCGCCAAACGGAAGGUCGUCAGCUUCACGUCAUCUCCGUCGUGGUUGUCGACGCGCCGUUAAUUCCGCCGACGGCUAAGCGUCGACGAAUGAAGCUCCAUCGUUAUUGUCGAUGCGCUGUUACUUUCGUCGAUGUCGUCGAUGCGCCGUUACUUCCGUCGACGGCUAAGCGCCAAACGGAAGGUCGUCAGCUUCACGUCGUCUCCGUCGUGGUUGUCGACGCGCCGUUAAUUCCGCCGACGGCUAAGCGCCGACGAAUGAAGCUCCACCGUUAUUGUCGAUACGCCGUUAAUUCCGCCAUGGUCGUCGAUGCGCCGUUAAUUCCGCCGACGGCUAAGCGCCGGCGAAUGAAACUCCGCCGUUGUUGCCGAUGUAGAGAUGGAUGGAGGCUAUUCUUCUCUUCCGCCGAUGGCUAAGCGCCAAACGGAGGAUCGUCGGCUUCACAUCAUCUCCGCCAUGGUUGCCGAUGAAGCUCCGCCGUUGAUGUAGGGAUGGAGGGAGGACGCGAGUAUUAUUAUUAUUAUUAUUAUUAUUUUUUGUGAGGAGGAGAAGAAAGAAAAUAUAUUUCUUCUUUUUUUUGAAUGGAUAUUUGUACCUUUUUUUUGAACGAAUCUUGUUUCUCUCUCUUUUUUUUUUUGCCAAAGUAGUUGAUCUCUCUAACAACUUUUCUAAAAAAAUCCUCCCUCUUUCAUUGUAUCUUUCCCUCUUUUAUAGACUUUUUUAGUUAGUGCAUAAGUGGGUAGUUUUUUUUUUUUAGUGGGUUAGUGGGUUAAUAGGAGAGAUUAGUGGGAAGGUGGGAAGGGUAGUUAGUUUUCCCCUUUUUUUUCUCGUAGUGGGUUUUCUUUUUUUUUUUUAUUUUAUUUUAUUUUAUUUUAUUUUAUUUUAUUUUUUUUAAGCAUGGAACUGAUCUUAACCGUCAGUUCAAAAAUUCAAAACCAUUGAGAUGCCAUAUAGAACCAAUUAAUCAUGCCCGGUUAAUUAGUGGCUCAAAACCAUUGAGAUGCCAUCAUGGCCCGGUUAAUUAGAGAUGCCAUAUAGAACCAAUUAAUCAUGCCCGGUUAAUUAGUGGCUUAAAACCAUUGAGAUGCCAUCAUGGCCCGGGUAAUUAGUCGCCCGGCUCAGUCGCACCAUCUUUUUUUUCUUUUCACCCAACCCCUUUUUUUAAAUAAAUAUAUAUAAUCGUGGGCCCACUUUUUUAUGUAAGAGAAAACAAUAAUAAUAAUAAUAUGCAGAUAUUCGGGCUUAGGUUCGGAUUCAACCUGGACUUGAAUUAGAUUUGACUUGACUAUAUUUGAAUUCAAAAUUUGAAUCUAUCACGUUCUCCUCUUUUUUCUUAUUACACUCAAACAGGUAGUAGCAGCAUGCCAAUGUCAAACUCUACUCCUUGCAUCUUCCAUUGGAACCCUUUGCACAUGGGCGAACUUGUUAGCCGGUUACUAUCUGCUACAUUUACUGUAACUGGGGGAAUAUCUUCGGUAUGACACCCCAAUUUCGACGCUAUAGCCGAAUCUAGGAAGUGUGAACUUCCUGAAUCUAUAUGGACAUGGAUUCUCCUGUUUUUUGCAGUACCAGAGAGUCACAUGGUCCUGAAAUCAAGAGGUUGUGCGUGACCUGCCAGGGAUAGAGAGAGAUUUGGGGUGAGGAGAUUAAAGCUUCAGAUUCUACAGCAGUUUCUUCCAAGCUAUCAGCCUCUGCUGGGUCCUCUUCUUCCACCAGUUCAAUCUUGUACAAUUGUUUUUUCCUGCACUGAUGUCCUGGAGAAUAUUUCUCUUCACACCAAAAACAUAACCUCUUAGCCCUUCUUUCAUCGAAAUCAGCGUUGGAGACGUUUCUCACCAGUUUCGUUGCCACUGGUCCCACUCCUAACACACUUGGCUGGUUUGUAUUUCUAAGCAUUCUUGAGGAUUCGAAGAUAUUUCAGUUGUUGGUGGCCUUUGAAGUUGGUAAUGUAGGCAAGUUCCCGGCUACUAGUUUGGCUCCUCCCUUGUAGAGCUUAUUACGACUAUCCACUGCCAGUUCUUGCAACUUGGCCAAACUUAGUGCCUUUUGUAGCGUGCGUGGUUGGAACAUCUCGCACCGGAAUCUGGAUUUCCUUUUUUAAUCCACUAAGGAAGUAGCUUAUAGCAUAUUCUUCUGUUAAUACUACUCUAUUUAACAAGGCGUCAAACUUAUCUUGAUACUCCAUGAUAGACCCAACUUGCCUCAAUUCCUUAAGCUCUGCCAUCGGAUCAUCAUACAGAUCUACUCCGAAUCGUGUGUUAACGGCAAAUACAUAUUCUUCCCAGGUGGGUGGCGAGCGAGUGAACCUAGACUUCAUGUAAACCUGAUGCCAUUGAAGAGCCCUACUUUCUAGAUAGGUCGUAGCUAAUUUUACUUUAGCAUCUUCCUCAGUUCCGUCAAUUUCAAAAAAUUGUUCACAUCUAUACACCCAUCCUUUCAAAUCCAUUCCAUUGAAUCUAGGAAACUCUACUUUAGUAAAGCGCGAAGAUAAUUGGGAUUUGAUUGGAUUGUUACUUUCUGCUCGUGGUUUUGAGGGGGCAUCGCGGCUCGUUCCACCAAACAAUGAUGCUUGCAAUCCGAUGAACAUUUGGCGUACCUCGCUCAUGUCCUUUUCUUGGCAAUCUCGGACCUCCUGAAUCGAUUGCUUUUGUCGUGUGGCCGUGUCCCUGAUCAAUUGCCGCUACACCUCCUCCAUCUUUUUGAGUUCUUGAGCCCGUGUCUCCAUAGCCUGAUUAAUUGCUGAGGAUCGAUGCUCUGAUACCAAGCUGAUGCCACCAAUUAAGGACCUGGAGUAGAGGACCUAAAGGAAUGGUCCUGGAGCUCCAACCAUGGCAGCGUGAGGACAUGGAACAACAGCAGUAGCAGAGGAAGGAGAAGAAGAGUGAGAGGGGCGGAAACUAAAUUCUAUUAUCAUUAUAACUGGUUAUAAUUACAUGACCAUUCCCUGUUUAUAGCAGGCGAUGGCAUUACUGCAAAUAAAAUGAAAAGACAACAAUGUGGCCUGGGUAGUUAAGGUUGUUAAGUUGGUUGGCUACGGACGGCUGAGAUUGACUUGGGUGCGAUCCACAACCCAAAAUGAAGUGAUUUGGCCGGCCAGAUUGAUUGCUCCCCUUUGCUCCUAAUUUGUAGGUGUGUCAAAUAGAUGGGAUCGAAGCGGCAGAGGCAGGAAUAAAGGGGAUCGAAGCGGCGACGGGGUCGAUGCGGCGUCAAUGAACGGCUUCAAUGAAACUCCGGCGAGGGCGGCGUAUGAUAGAAGCGACAAAAAACCAUGGAACCCAGCCGGUUUAUGGAAAUAAGAACCAGUUCAAAAAAAAUUGAAACGAAGAACCGGUUCAAGCAUGGAAAAGGAACCAAUUCAUUAAAGGAACAGGAAAAACCGAUAGACCGAUUCAAUAAAAAAUCGAUGAAAUAGAUGAAACACCAACAGAUGGGUCCCAUAUUCAACUAAAAUUUGCCGAACCGGUUCAAGCAUGAGAAGAGCAACAAACAAAACCAAAUUGGUUCAAGGAUGGAAAAAGAACAGGUUGAAUAAAAAAGAAAUAAAAACCAGUUCAAAGUUUAAAAAGGAACUGGUUCAAUAAAGCAUUACGAAACAUCGGUUUCCAUUUAAACCGGUUCAGAGAUACAAGGAGGAAUCAAAAAAAAGAGUAACCAAUCUAAUGUACGGAAUACCGAUUCCCACUUUUAAGCAAAUAAUAUGGGUGAAAUAAUGAACGGAACCGGAUCAAUUAUGAGAAGAGGAGCCGGUCCACGAAUCAAAAGAGAAACCGGUUAAAAAAAAACAUGAAAAUAUGGGACCCACGACGGGUCCCACAUCUACCAAAAUUAAGGCUCAUAUAACACGUGGAUAGCCAACAUGGAAAUUAAUAGAGGUUAAUAGAUAAUAGAUUUCUAUAUUUAAUACAUUGUUAUCAACGUAAAGUUAUAUAUAAUUUUAUUUGCUACUUUUUAUUAAUUAUUAGUGAAGCAUUUUGGUUAGUGACAUUUAUUGAUACGCUUUUUUAGUGCAUCAAAUUAGAAAGAUGCCAUUUGACAACAUAUGAUGAAUUUGAGGCCGGGCACGUUUGGUUCGCACUAUAAAAAAUUACUAGAAAUAAAAAAACGUCCGAAGAUUUUAUUCUUACUCAUUCUAUUAUUAAGAAUAUGGUAUUUUGGUGUUGAGUUUGAUAUUAUUUAAGAUUACGAAAAAUAUACAAUUAAUAUAUGUGUUUCGUAAAUUAAUUUCAAAUAAUACUAUCAAAAACAUUAACAUCUUUUUUGAAUAAGAUAUUAAUGAUCAAAUAAUAAUAAACAAAAUAAUUAGUUAAUAUAGUUUUUUUUCAACAAUAAUAAAGGAUUUAUUUUUAGGUAAAUUGAGAAAACUUAGCUUAGAGAGAGAGAUAGAGAAAUUUAAGUUUAAAGAAAGAGAUAGUUGAGAUUAGAAAGAGAAUUUUUUAGAUUAGAGAUAUGAAGAGAUAAAAAGAGCGGAACAGCUUAGUUUAAAAAGAGAUAUUUGAGGUUAGAGAGAACGACAAAAUUGAGAUUUUAAAGAGAGAGGGAGAGAGCAUAGGUUAGGAAGAGAGAAUAGUUAAAGAAAUUGGAAGAGAGAUAGAGUCGAGAUUAGAGAAAGUGAAAGAGUUGAUAUUUUAGAAAGAGAGGGGGGGGGGAGAGAGCUUAGAUUAUAUAGAGAAAAAAUUUUAAGUUUAGAGAGAGAAAGAUAAAGUUAGAGAGAGAUAUGAGAUUAAAGAGUAAAUAAAAAUAAUACCAACUAGCCAGUCGGUGAAGAGAAAGAAAAUGAGUGUGCCGGAUUAGACAUAUUAUGAUUAUUCUAAUUUAUUAUUAUGAGGAUAUCUACUUUUUUUUUUCAAGGACUUUAGGAUUAAACUCAUUUCGAAGGAAAUCCAACAUUAUCAACUAAACUACUUAGUGCGUUAGUCAAAUGCCAUCGUAUUCUUUUUAUUACUAUUGAAUUACUGAGAAUCUUGAAAAGAUAGCGCGAACCAUACGUAACUUCAAAGUUAUUAUUCUAAAUUUUAUUAUUUAUUUAUAUAUGAAUAUAUAAUUUCCUUCAUAGCCAUGCAUUAUUGCAUCAAUAAAAAGCAGAAAACAAAUAAAUAUAUCAUGUAUAGGUGACAGUUAUCUAAUUCCCAGGAGAAAAUCUUUUCGAAAGCGAAAUAUCAGAUGCCCAAAGAAUAUCCGCGCGCAGUUUAUCCACCCCACGAGCAUUAAUCAAUAAUCUCACCGUCCAUAAGCUUGAACAAGAAAUAAUUGCUUGGACUCUGUCUACCACAUCAUCUGUGAACCAUGCAUUUCUUAUCUAAAUCUAAUGCCUAUGCUUAAUUUCUAAAACUGUAGCUUUUUUUUUUAUUGAAAAUUGACUUUUUUAUAUAAAAAAAUUCAUUGAGUGGUUCGGUUAAGGGUCUAUUUUGUUCUGCUGUUGGAUAUGUGUUGUUUGAAUAGUAUAUUUUUUUAAUGAUACUAUUAAAAUAGGUAAUAUACUUCUAUGCCUAAAAAAAAAGUUCAAAAUAGAAAAUUUAUUUAUGCGUCUACUCUUUUUGUUUAUUUCCAAACCAAACGAUACCUAGAUGUAUAUAAAAUCUAUCUUUUGAUUGUGAGGACGCAACAUAUAAGAUCCAAACUUGGAUAUCAAAACUUGAUGUACAAGUAGAAUUGCUCUUCAAAAAGUUUGUGUUUUUAAAACAUCAUACAAAGUCCUGUUUAGUAUUGCUAUUCUUUUUAUCAAACAAAAAUUAGAUAUAAUUAAAUAUGUCAAAAUUUAAUUAUAUCUAAAUAAGUACUGAGAAAAAAAUUAUGUCAGGAAUGAGUACUGAAAAAAAAAAAAAUAUGUCAAAAAUUUAUUUCUUUUCGUAAUCAGUGCGGCAAAAUCCAUCAUCUCCUCUUGCACCCUUUCAUGUAUAAUAAAAAAAAUACCAAAUAAGGACUAUAUAUAUAUAUAUGCAUGGUUGAUCAGCUUACUAACACAAAUAACUAGUCGGGCUCUAAUCAUCGGCUUAAAAUGCUUAAACUCAGUUAUUAGUACUGGUGUCCUUCUUUCGGCUAAUGAACCGGCUCUAAUAAUAACUGUAACAAUCAAAUCCACCGGUAUCAAUUCUUCGUUAGGUACUAACCAUGGACUCAAAAUGUUUAAAUUCAAUUAUUAUUUGUGUGUCUGCCAUAUUUUUUUAUAGGGUCAAUUACAUACAGGUCCCUACAAAAAUAAUGAAUUACAGAUAUAUCCUUGUAAAGUUCAACUUUUAUAAGUUUUUCCUAUAAAAGUUUUAAUGUUUUCAGAUAUAUCCCUACUAGAAUCCAUUAGAAAAGUUUAGUCAACUGUAGAUUAAAUACUUUACCCGAGUACAUUUUUGAUAUUUUUACCCCUCUUAUAUUAUACUGUUAUAAUUUUUGAAGGGGCAUAUUUGUGAUGACAAAAUUGGAAAUAUAAACAGUUUUCUAACAGUUCUCUAACGAUAACAAACCAAAGGGACACAUCUGAAAAUAUUAUGAUUUUUACAGAAAUAACUUAUGAAAGUUAAACUUUACAGAAAUAUAUUUAUAAUUUACUAUAUUUGCGAAAACCUGUAUGCUAUUAAUCCUUUUUUAUAUUACGGAUGUGAUCGUAUCGGAGUGUCGUAACGCUGGUAAAAGUGCCAUGGCCACGGCUGAUGUGGUGGACCUGUCGGCCCAACAAAUUUUCGUGGGACCGACCGUCCCUAGAGCAAGCGGCAAAGGACUUAGUGGUUGGUACUCGAGAUUCAAGUUUGAAUUCUAAUUGAUUCACAUUUUUAGCUAAGUUUAUUUCUGAAUAGAAUAAACGAAGUGGGUAACGUGCUACCUAUCUCUAAAAAAAAAAAAAAAAAAUUUAUUGGAGACAGUUUUCAACUUUUCAACGUAUCACCAGUAAAAAAAAAAAAAAAAAACAAAAAACAAAAUUUCGUGGGAUUGUCUGUGCACCUUGGAACCAUGAGACCCACCCAGUCCGGCUCUCCGCAAACUGUCUCCGCUCGACGCUGCUGCUUUCAAGGAGAGUGUUUAGUAGUAGUGCCUAUUGCUAUUGCUAUUGCUAUUGCUAUUGCUAUUGCUAUCUGGUAUUUGGUAUUAUUAGAUCAUUCGCACCCCCACGACGUACUCGAGGGUCGGGCUCAUUGGACGGCCACGAUCUCCUCGUCUCGAGAUCGUACGGAAGCGGCGCGCUUGUCGGCUACCUCCACGCGAGUUCAGGGAAGAAAAAUGCUAGUCUCUUUCGGAAGCUUCCGAUUUUGUUGUAAUAAUAUAAUAAUUUUUUAUAUGUAUUUUUAAAAAAUUAAUUUUGAAUUUUAUUUUUUGUAAAUUUGUAUUUUUAUUUUAUAUCCGUUGUAGAAAAAAAUAAUCCACUGUGUCAUUUUUUUUUUCUUUUUUUAGCAUAAAAUAAUAUAAUAAUAUGUUUUUUGAAUAAUGCUAUCUCUAUAAUAAUCCAAAUAGAAUUGUAAGAUUACACCCCUUUUUAAAUUAUAAAUUAAACUUUUUUAUUUUCUCUAUUACUUUCAAUUUGGAUCGUUAUCUCUCAUAAGUUCAGGUGUAUAAAAGAAAGAAAAUACAUCUAGAAUUAAGUUAUUAAAAAUAUAUGCAAAAAUUAACAAGUCAGGAUGCUCACGUUAGUUGGAAAACUCUCCACCCAAGUUUUUACCCUAAACGCUGAUAGGCCAGGUGUAAAAUUUAUUUAUAUUUUAUUCAUCCAAAAAUCCACUAUUUGUUCUCUAAUCUUGUCAAAAAUAAAAAAUAAAAAAUAUAUAUAUAUAUAUAUAUAUAUAUAUAUAUAUAAAUUUAAAAAGAUUUUGUGAUCCCUAUGACGAUUACACGUAGCAUUUUCCUUUUUCGAUUGAGAAACAACGAUGGGCAGAUCCUUGUUAAAAGAAAACCGCCAUGAUGGCCUUUUUAUUGUGCCUACCAGUUUCUUCCUCUUCGUUCUUGUUUCAAGCUUCAGCGUCAUUAUCAGAAUCUCUCGAAUGUACGCAAUAAUUACAAUCCCCUUCCUGCUUCAUUUUCUCUGCUUAAUUGGUAGCAAAUUGAUACAGAGUUGGAUGAUUGCUUUCCAACUCGGUGAAUCGAAUGAAUUGAAUUUGGGGUUGUGUUCUUCUGUUUGGGAUUUGGUGCAAUCAUUUUUCUAUGUAAUCAUCAGAUUUUCUUGUUGGAAGUGUUUCCAAAUCGUCUGAAAUUAGUGAAUUCUUGUAUGUAUGUGAUUUGAUCCCAAUUGGUGGUUUAGAGGAUUCUGAGCAGGGUGAUAGAUUAUUAGAUUUUGAGCUGCUAUUUUGAAAGGUGAUUUCCUUUUUAUAUUGGUGAGUAGUUGUUCUUCUUUGGAUUUUCGAUUAUGAUCCACAUGAGUUUGUCACUGAUAUUGUCUGUUCUUCCAUGUUCACACAAGAACACACAAAAUUAUCUGCGAAUCUAGUGUUCUUGUACUAAUAAAAUCAAUUGUUGGGAAAGAACUUGCGUGAUUGCCGUGAUUAUUCAUCCCUGAUAUUGUGAUAAUUUAUUUGUUUCUAUGGAUUUUUGUGGUCAGUUUAUGUGAAGAAACAUGUCUUCUUGAAUCCAAUAUUGGGGAUAGCCAGGUAGUUCUUUCUAAUUUUUCCUUUCAAAUUUUGAAUAAAAAUUUAGACCUCAAAUUGCUCAAUCCUAUUUUCCUGUGUUUAUAACAUUGUAAUUCGUUAGUUUUGAAUGUUGUUCUGUUGAUGGACUCGAUAUAGGUAGCUUGAUAGCCAUUGUAUUUCUAUCUAUUGACAAAUAUUGUAUAUUUCUCAACCUAAUAAGGCCAUUAUUUCAUUCUAUGCUUCGCUUUUCCUGUUUCCGUAGAUAAAUUUGACAGUGCCAGAUUGCUGUUGAUGGAGUUCAAUGGUCAGAGUAACAGAGAUGGGAAAGAUAGGAAUUCAAGAGGGUAAUGAUAGGAAUUCCUCUAGUGAUGUUGAUGAGUUUGAUCCAUGGACGGCUUGGCUCUACAAGCCACGCACGGUCUCAUCGCUACUUGUCGGAGCCUGUUUUUUGAUGUGAGUUCUUGUUCUACAAUUUCAUCACUUAUUUAUGUAUAUAUUUUCUUGAUCUGAAGAUCAUAUUUUCUAUACUAAACUUCUACCAUUGCCUCAAAAGAAUGAUAGCAGAUAAUUUUAUGAGUGUAUAAACAUGUACGGAAAAGUUAUAGUACAAGCUUAUGUAGCUGGACUGUCCACAGUUGACUAACAUUUGGUACGUAUUAUCGAUACUUCCACUGUAAUGUUGUUUUUGAGGUAGCGAUGGCUUGAAUCACAUAGCAUCGGUAUUUAAACAAUUAGUGGAUAUUUGAAUGGCUAGACUGAACAUUGUUAAAACUUAAAAUGUUUGGCACCAUUAAGUAUUUCAUCCUUGGAUUAGCAGUUCAUAUACAGGUGCUUAAAGGCCCAUUUGUAACUUCCCAGGUUUUUCUUCAUAGAUGUUGACCAGUUUCAUGAUCUUGCUGGUUGGUUUUAUGAGAUUAUCAACGUUGCCUUAUUAUAUAUUUAUAUUGAUUGGUAGGGUAGCAUUUACACAGAAAAGUGUUUUCUGACUUCAUUCGGAUAUAAGGUCUAGUGCGUGACUAAUAAUUUUCGAGUUUUCUGCAAAAGAUUCUGCUCAUAUUUUAUGUUGGGCACAAGAAUCUUCAGCUAUAACUCAUUUUAUUUUGUAGUAUCAUGGGGCUUGCACUACAUAAGUUGAUUUGUUCUUGUACUAACUGAUGAUCUAACUCUUAAGCACUUCCUCUUAAUUUGAGUGAACAUGUCAAACUUUGAAAUUUUUGUGAUCUUGUUUCUGUUUCUACUGUGAUCCUUCAUGGAAUGAUCUAGGUGCAUAUUCUAGAUAAUCAUGUACUAGGAUAAUGCAUGGUUCAAUGUUGUUUGUUAAGAACAUAGAUACUUUUCUAUGGUGAAGCUGACUCCUGAAAUGGUUUACAUUAUAGUGUCAAUGGUAUGGAAUGCUUGAAUAUUUUGUACUCUGCUGCUUCUGAACAGAACUAAACUGGUUAUGAAGACUUGGGAGGUGUCAAUUGAAUAUUGUAGAUGCUUCAGAAAUCUUUACUAAUUGAUGACAGAUGUUAUUACUCGGCUAUUACCGUCCAAGAUGGUUUUCUCGAUUUUCUUCAUACGGUUUUUGAUACGAAUUGCAUGUACAAUUUUAUCUCUAUUGGAGAUACCUAAUUAACUUGCAUGUGUUGAUCAUUAUAUAUGUUUCUCAGUUGGGCUAGUGGAGCACUUAAUCCUGACAGCACUGCAUCUAAUGCUACUGUUUCAUCUGUGAGAAGGUAUGCUCAUGAGUUGAUGAAUUUUUUUUAUUUAAAGCUUUUAUCGCUUUUCAUUAGGGCAUGUUUGGUUGUACGAAAGAGGUUGAACUGAAAAAAGUCACUUUUGCAAAAGUGACUUUUACAAAAGUGAUUUUUCAGUUCAAUUGUUUGGUUGAUUAUAAAAUGAAACAUGAAAAAUUAUGGUUUUAUAAUUUUGAUUCCUUAAUUAUAUAUAAAGAGGUGAAAAUAUAAAAAAAAAAAACUUAUACUCGCAAUUAAAUUGAAAAUUUUAAAUUAUAUUUAUUUUUAGACUUUAAAAUUAUAUUUUAAAAUUUAAAAUUAAACUUAAAUUUGAGUUGAACUUAUAAUUAAAAUAUAAGACACAAAUUAAAUUUACAAUUUGAAUUUCAAUUUUAAGUUAUAACUCAUAACUAAAAUUAAAUUUUAAAAUAAAAGUUCAACAUAGAAGUUAUAAUACUUAUUCAAAUUUGAAUUCAUAAUUUGAAUUUGUAAUUUGAAUCAUAUUUUAAUUUACUCUUUGAUCUUAAAUUGUGAAUUCAAAUAUGAAUCCGCAAUUUGAAUUAAUAAUUAAAAUUAAAAUUAAAAUUUAAUUCCAACUUAACAUUUGAAUUCAUAAGUCGAAUUCAAAGUUCAAAUUGAAACUUAUUAUUGAAAUUAAAUGCAAAUAGCAAAUUUAAAUUUCAAUUUCAAUUUCAAUUUAAAAUUUAAAUAUUAAAUUCAAAUUUUGGUCAAUAAUUUGAAUUUAUAGUUGGAACAGUUUGAAUUCAAACUUCAAAUUGAAGGUCUUAGCUAAAAAUAAUUUGAUGAAAAUUUAAAUUUAAAUUCUAGAAUUCAAAUUUAUUUUUUUAAAAAAUAAAAUUUUAAAAUUUAAAUUUAAAUAUAAAGUCACAAAUUUGAAUUUACAAAUAAAAUUAAAAAUGUGAUCAUGUUAUUAAUUCAAAUUUAAGGUGAAAUUUAACUUAAAAAAUAAAUUCAAAGAUUAAAGUUAAGACCACAUAUAACCUCUUAGCUAAUCUCUCAACUUUCGGUGACUUUCGAAUUUUUUGAGCCGAAGUCAAAAAAGUGAAAUUUAGUUAUAACUUACUUUAUCUAUCCAUUUUAUAAAGUGACUUUUAUAUUCACUUUUGCAAACCAAACAACCAAUAAGAUGUCACUUUCCAAAAGUGCCUUUUUCGGUGCUUCAAUUUCAGCCAACCAAAGCCCUUGGGUUAUUACAACUCUUUCACACUUAGCUUGGUGACUUUGGUCACCUCACCAAGAGCUUUUAAUUAUUGAAACAUAAUACUGUUUCUAUCAUAUUUUGCUAUCUUGAUUUCCUUUAUUGUGCAAUGUAUUUUACCUUUCUAGUAACUGCUUCUAGUAGAAAGAGUUACGAUUUCUAACGUCUAUUUGUUUUUCUUGUUAGGGGUGUUUGGGCAAUGAUAGCAGUCUUUCUUAUUUAUUGCGUCCUUCAAGCUCCUUCAACGUGAGUGAUCAUUCCGUACACUUUCUUAAAAGUUAACCAUAUGAAAAACUUGAAUACAGGAAUGGUCAACUACACAUAAAUUAGUAUAUGUUAUUUGUAUAAUAUUGUGCUCUAGUUUUUGUGGCAUAGCAACUGUUAAUUUAUUAUGAGUUUUACUUACUUCCGUCUAUGUAAUCAUAGUAAGAGUAUUUUAUGUGGGGAAGAAAACUAAAUAUCUUCUUGUCAUCUUUGUCUAAUUAUUAUCUUAUUGAUCAGUAAUAUCAUAAUCAGACUCAACGGCUGUUACUUUGAAAGAUGAAUAACAAUCUUGUCUUCAAAAGAUGCUUAUUUCCUAAGGCCUUAUUAUUUUUUUUCUUUUUCAUGUUUGGAAUGAUCUUGGCACAUAGACUAGUAAGAACACAAUGUCACAGCAACAACAUUUAAGAAAAUUACAAGCAUGUAAUAAAUGAUCAUAAUGUGCUUUGAUGAAUUUGUCUAUCUCCAAGUGCUGCAGCAUAAAUUUCAGCAUGCUUUUUAGAAGCCAUUGAUGCUAUAAAAAUGAAGGUAUAUUAUAUUUUUACGUUCAGGUUGCUUAUUAGACCCCAUCCUGCUGUUUGGCGGUUUGUCCAUGGAAUGGCUGUUGUUUACCUUGUGGCCCUUACUUUUCUUCUUUUCCAGGUUUCGUUUUUCCCUUAUAUAGUGCUUGGUGUUGUCUCUUUUACAUAGAUAGUAACCUAUAUUAUCAAUGUCCAAAGUUUCCGUAGAGAAGUUAUGAUUAUCUUUCUAUUAGAAUUAUUUGAUACAAAUAGCCAUUUUAUCUUUUACUUUUUAGUGGUCAUCAUAGAAUUGUAUUAGUAUUUUUAUUAUCCUUAUAUCAAUUGUCGCGUUCUUUUCUUAACACGUAUUAAUCUUUGCUGUAAUUUUUUCCCCACCUUUUUUAUUGGUAAAACUUUUGAAGAUUAUCACAUAUUUUUCUUAUUUUUUUAGAAUUAUAAAAUUAAAACAACCUUAUGUGGGAAUUUUUUUUUCCCCUAAUUAUAUGUAUUUAGACUUUUUAGUUAUUCUAUACAAUAGUCUGAUAUUUGUUUUGCACUACAAUGGAAAUUAAAACUUAAUUAUUAUCAUACUUCUCAGAAUCGUGAUGAUGCUCGACAGUUCAUGAAGUACCUGCAUCCUCAUCUUGGAGUAGGUAGUACUUGCCAAGCAUUUCUGAGUUCUUGUUAACACUAAUGAAUCUUGUUGCACUUGAACAAAAAAUUAGAUAUUCACCUUUUUUCAUCUUAAUGCAGAACUACCUAAAAGAUCUUAUGGAGUUGAUUGCCGAAUUUAUGUCCCAGAAAAUCCUAAAAGCAGGUUUAUCAAUGUUUAUGUAUGAUGUCUCAGUCUAACAUUCCUCAUUGAGUAUCAAUUUUAGUAGAUUUUGCGCUCGUUUGGCACAUAGUAUUGAGUUUGAUAGGGAUAAGACGAGAGCAAUGUCGGCAGAGGGAGGGGGUUUAGUAACUCGAAGGCAUCGGGGUUCAUAGGACGAGUUCGGUCUCAUAAAAUAACGACAGUGGAUGGGAUCAUUGGAUUCUUUCAUAGAUGUUUGAAUUUAACACAAUUGGAUUUUCAAAAAUCUAAUUUUAUCCCACUAGCUCCAAUCCCUAUUUGUCGUUCUCUUGACACCUCCAACUCCUUAAUCCCUCCUUAAGCCCCAACAUCACUAUCUUGUCUUAUUCUAUCUUAUGUGCCAAAUAGGGAAUUUAGUUCCUCUAUUUUUCAUAAUUCGAAAUUUGAUAUAUUUUAGAUUUUUCUAGGAAACUUUGUUUGAUGAGUUUGUCCUUGCCCAUAUCGUGGGUUGGUGGGGAAAGGCUGUGAUGAUACGUAAUCACCCUCUCUUAUGGAUAUUGUCAAUUGGAUUUGAGUCGAUGGAGGUCAAAUUUUCACUCGGAAACUUCUUGGCUUCUCUCACUUAGUUAUCGUUACUUUUAAAUGAUUUGAUCUCUUUCUUAAGUAUAUUGUGCAUGAUCGUUUCCAGCUCACUUUUCGCCAUAUGUUGCCAAACUUUAGUGAGUGUUGGUGGGAUAGCAUUAUUUUGGAUAUUUUGAUCUGCAAUUGGUUUGGUAAGAAUCCAACUAUAGCUUAUUCAGCUUCAUUUUCGGUUUAUAGACAUACUCAUGUAAUGUGCAGUCCUUUGUUUAGCAUUAUCUCUUUUAGAAUAAACCAAAUACACCACAAGUUUUUACUCUUUUUUUUGAAAAGAAGUACAAAAUCACACCGAUACAAGCCCGUUUAAUGUGAAAAUGACACUUCAUGCUGCAACACGAGGAGUUUUUUUUUUCAAAUAUUUAAGUUUGAACUUUGGACAUUUACACACAAUCUCAACUUCACCUAGUCCACCCAAUGUUUGACAAAAACACACCCAACCUGAUUCAUAAUUCAGUUCAACGCUGGAUCCCUCACGCAAAUCGUUUUUCACCAUUCAUUUAUAGACCGAGAUACCUCUUUUGAUUAACUAUUUGUGGCUAAAUCUUUCUCAGUUGCCUUGCCCUUUGUUAUUUUUGGCUAUGUUGCCUUUCACAUAGUUGGAUUGCCUUGCUCUUUUGAAGUGUGCAUUUAAUCUUUGGUUUCCUCAAAUUUUAAUUUUGCUUGUCCUCAUUCUUCUUUGUAAAUGAUGAUAAAGAAAAGCAUAUACUGCAUGGAUAGUGCCAAACUUGAAGUGUGCAUUUAAUCUUUGGUUCCCUCAAAUUUUAAUUUUGCUUGUCCUAAUUCUUCUUUGUAAAUGAUGAUAAAGCAAAGCGUAUACUGCACGGACAGUGUUAAAAUUGUCGACAAUGUCAAGCUUACGUGUAAACAUAGAGGACUCUUGGCUAUACGCAACUCUUUGUUUACACGAGGGGCAUCAACUUUUCCAAGUCGACUUUAGUGUCUAAUAUUUUCUUAUUCUUGGGAAGUCUGCUGAUAGCAUAAAUUAUUUUUCUUUUAUUCUUUGUUUCAACUUUUUAAAUUUGUUAUCUAUUUCCAAAACCUUUUUCAACAUCAGACAGAGGAGAAGUCAACUACCCUUUUACCUAGAACAACAACAACUAAGCAUUUGGUCCUAGUUAUUUUGGGCUGUUGGCGCAAGCUAUAUGGAUCUCUUAUCGCUCCAUUUUGUUUCUUUUUUUAAACAUUUUUUGUCAAAAAAAGUAUUGUAAUAUCUCAUCUUAUCUCAGCAGUUCCUCUCGUUAAUUUUGGUUUGUGUCUUCUUCAAGUGCCACAUUUUAGCAGAAUAAAGUCCUAAUGCCUUGUGGGUUAUUUUACACAUGGCCGCAACAUCUCAAUCAGUUUUUGCACAACUUAUCCUUUAUAAGCUGUAAGCCCUUACACCUCACUUGUGUUGGAUUCGACAGUUUUCAGCCUUUUCUAGCGACGUGACACAGUUAUGUCAACAUCCUCAUCUUGGCGAGACUCAAAACUUUUGCCAAUGUUAUUUCCUUAGCAUACUCCUUCAAUUAUCUUUUAUGUAAUGUUGUUAUUGAAUUGUAGUUUUAUUGGUUCCGAGCAAUAUUUAAAUGGAUUGGGUUUCUAAUUCAGGUAUUUGGGCCGGAAUGCGUACUGUUACAUACAUCAAUGGUAAAACAUACAAAUGGGUUGGUCUAAGCUGCCAGCCAAACAUUAUCAGUAAGGUAAGCUCACAAUUUGUUAUUUUGUAUAAGUUGCUUCUGAUAAAAGGUACUAUUGAUUGAACCUGAAUUAUGACUCGGAACUGAUGACAUAGUAACAUAUUUAUCUUGAAAAAUUAAAGGAAUAACCUUCUCUGAAAAAUAAGAAAUUUUAUUCUUACCUUUAUUUGUACAUCUAAAUCAUCUAACUUCGUGAUGUCAGAUCAUGACACCAAGUGGGUAGUUGCACUUCAGCAUAUGGAAAGAAAGCUAAUUUAUAUGUAUUUACACUUAUAGCGCAAUCAACAUUUUUGUAUCUAUAUAGAAAAUAUAAUGGGCGUGAUUAGCAAUAUUGUUAAGUCUUAAAUCUUCCCUUCUUGGAACUUUUAAACAUUUUUAUCAACAUAGUAGAAAUGAAAAUUAGAGAAAUCAAUACAAGAAAUAUCUCUAGAUUAUAUAUAUUAAAGCCCUAGUCCUUAACAAGUAUACUUUUAUGUAUAUAAGAUAUUCAUAUAUCAAUCAACUAUUCACUUGUAUCAUAUCGUUUAGGCGUUUAGACUUGCAUUGUUGGAUACACGCGCAUCUAUUCACUUCACAGUUACUGACACUUUCUUUUAUCAUCAUAAUAUAACCUAUUCAGUUUUGUAUCUCAUAAUACUCUUUUUUGUAAACAUUUAAAGGUAAAAAGAUCGUUGGGCCAAUUCACACCUGCAUGGUGGGACAAAGAUGAGUGGCACCCUAUGCAGGGCCCGCUGAGGUUCUUCCAAGUUCUAUGUCUCUGUGUCGCUUUCAUGACAGUGGAACUCAACACCUUCUUCCUCAAAUUCUCUCUUUGGAUUCCCCCAAGAAAUCCCUUGGUUGUGUACAGGUUGAUUCUUUGGUGGCUAAUAGCUAUUCCAACUAUCCGCGAGUACAACUCCUACAUACAGGACAGGUUCUCUCUCUCUUUCUCACACUCACAUACACACAACUAUGUGCAAAAUGCAUUGAAAUUGUUAACUCCAAAUUCUAAUGAACGUCAAGUCUCCAGCAUGUACAUGUGAUACUCGUGUACUAUUUUCUUAGCCUUCCCACAAAAAACAACCCCUUUUUUCCUUGGAUUUUCAAACUUAGGAAAAUUCUUUCACUUUUGCCACUUGAGUCCAUAUUUCGACUUUCAGCACCCACUUUCCGUUGGAAACAACACCAUGAUGCAUAGCUUUGAAAGUUCGAUGGAUGGUUUUGAACUACGGAGAUAUUCUUUUGAAAUUGUGGAAAAAGUAAGGGGCAAUUUCAUCCUCAAAGCUGAAAGUGAGCUGAAAUUACAAAAACUUAACAACUGUUAUAUUCUUCAGUUUACUUUUUCCUUUUUUGAAAAGUGGUUUUUUUUUUCCUCCUGGUCAUUAAUAUGUUUCAAUUACAAAUUACCUCAGCAAGCCAGUAAAGGUGGGGGCAUUUUGUUGGCUUUCCCUAGCUAUAUGUAUAGUGGAGCUUCUUAUCUGCAUUAAGUUCGGACAUGGUGAGCUCUAUCUCUCAAUCAUGUUUCAAUUUGUGUAUCUUAUUGAUAUCUUUCCUUUAAUGUCGAUUAUAUAUACUUUUUAAAACAAUGACUUAACAAACAGUGUACUGACUAGGUCUGUAUCCGAAUCCAAUGCCAACAUGGUUGAUAUGUUUCUGGGGAUCUGUUGGAGUAACCCUUGUUCUCUUCCUGCUAGUUUGGUGUUGGAGAAAUCAUCGACAAAUGGCAAGAAAGAGGCUAUGAAUUCAUAACAUAACAUGUUUCUUUAUAAUUUCUUCACUUUGUUCCAUGAUAUGUUUAUUGUACAUAUGCAUUGUAAACUAUUUUGGUUAGUUCUGAAAAUUUUGCUGGAGACUUGAUUCAAGCUAAAGUUUAAAGAUCCCUUUGCAUGUUCACAAGAAGUCUGAUUUAAGCAUUAUGUUUUGUUUUCCUCUUUUUUUUUUUAUAAACACUCACUAACCAUUUUAAUUAAAAUAUCUAGUGUGUGUCGAGAGAUAUUGAAGCCUUAAUGUAGUGAGAUACUUCAAAUAUAAGUUCAUGUACAAUUAUAAACACUUUGAGAAUCUUCCUUGUCAAAUGAAAUGAGAGAUUUUGUAAGGAAACUUUUAAAAUAAUAAAUUUUGUUUAUUAAUUUUCAGUGAAUGGAUGUGAUCCAUAGUAAAUGGAUGCAACCCUUAGUGAGUGGAUGCAACUCUAAUCAAAGGGUGUUAGUGAGUGGAUGCAACUCUAAUCAAAGGGUGUGACUCUUAGAGUGAAAGGAUAUAACUUUUAGUAAAAGGAUAUGACAUGAAAAGACACAUCUUUAUAAUGUGUCUCUUCGAGUACAUAUCUGUUGGAAUUAAUUCUUACAUUCAUUGAACUUGACUCAUAAAACUAAUUGGUAGUUAUGAUCAAAUGAAAAGUCACAAUUGAAGGGCCACUUCAUGAAACACCCAUUCAUGAAUAGUCACUUUAUGAAGCACCCGUUAUGAAGCACCCGUUCAUGGUCUAUAUAAGUCCACAGCGUUAGUUGUAGAAAUAUAAGACGAAACAGUUGAAGAGUUUAAGUCUCCAUUCACAAUAAUUCCAUUCUUGUUUUCUUAUUCUAUUUCUUUUGACAACUUAAUCGAGUGAGUGUUCAAAGGCUCGACUUCGUGUGUGCAAACGCAGUUGAGGUUUGUGCUUCAUUGUAUCCUAGGAGGCUGUUCGUUGACCCGGUGCACACCAAUUUGAUUGAACGGUGGGGACGGAUUAAGCCUUAAGGAAAGUGGCAUUGCUACACGCCUUGAAGCCUUUUUAAUCUUUCUAUUUCAUACCUUUAUCACAAUCUGUUCAAACAAUCUUAAGGCUUAAAUCCGAAAAUGUCGACUGCUACUCUACGAGAGAUGGCAACAAACUUUAUGAGACUAAAAAGAUUUGAUGGCAUGGACUUCAGGCGUUGGCAGAAGAAAUUAUUUUUCCUUCUAUCGACUCUCAAAGUUGCUUAUGUCCUUACUACUCUAAGACCAGAAGAAAAUGAUGAUGAACCUAUUGCACAAACUCGUACAAGACAAAAAUGGGAUGAAGAUGACAAUAUAUGCCGAGGCAACAUUCUAAAUCUUAUGUCGGAUACACUUUUCGACGUCUAUCAAAAUGUGAAAACGGCUAAAGAACGGUGGGAAGGUCUUGAAGAAAAAUAGAAAUCCGAGGAUGCCACAAGUAAGAAGUUUCUUGUUAGCAAAUUUAAUAACUAUAAAAUGGUUGAUAGUAGAUCUCUUCUUGAUCAGUUACAUGAAAUUCAAUAUAUUCUCAAUCAAUUUACUCAACAUAAUAUGAAUAUGGAUGAAUCUAUAAUUGUGGCCUCUAUUAUCGAUAAACUUCCUCCAUCAUGGAAAGACUUUAAGAAAAGUCUUAAGCAUAAAAAUGAAGAUAUUACUUUUAAAGAUUUGGCUAAUCAUCUUCGCAUAGAAGAAGAAUAUCGUUUGCAAGAUGGCAAAAAGGAGCAAGAUGCUCAGAGUGCCAAACUGUACGCGACGGAAGAUGAGUAUAAUAAAAUCCGGCAACCCACAAAAGAAAAUCGAAAGAGAGCCGAGCAUCCGAUCAACCACAACAUAACAAAUAAGAAAAAGAAAUGUGCAUGCUUUCAUUGUAGUAAACCGGGUCACUACAAGAAAGAAUGUCGGUUCCUCAAAAGGAAAAGUGCACCGGAUUCCAAAAAGAAUUUUGUGACUAUAAUAUCCGAGGUUAACACACUCGAAGAUGACGGAGCUUGGUGGAUUGAUUCGGGUUCCACAAGGCAUGUGUGCAAGGAUAGAAGUUUAUUUAGAACUUAUGAUGCAUUGGAGGAUAGAAACGUUCUCUAUAUGGGCAAUUCUUCAACAGCACAAAUCAAAGGAAAGGGUAACAUGGAACUUGAGUUCACAUCAGGGAAAACUCUCACUCUCACCGAUGUGUAUCAUGUACCCGAAGUUAGGAAGAAUCUUGUUUCAGGAAGUCUUCUUAACAAAUUUGGGUUCAAACUUGUAUUUGAGGCCGAUAAAUUUAUUUUGUCGAAGGCUAGAAUCUUUGUAGGAAAAGGAUAUUUGUAUGAAGGCAUGUUCAAACUCAAUCUUAUUAAUAAAAUGAAUAUUUCAGCCUAUAUUAUUGACUGUUCUUCUUUAUGGCAUAAUCGUUUAGGACAUGUUAAUUAUAGAAGAUUACAUGAUAUGUCUAAGUUAGAGUUAAUUACUAAUUUUGAUAACAAAUUAGAAAAAUGUAAUACUUGCAUGCUCACUAAAAUUACUAGAUAAGUCUUUUCCUAAAUUGAUAGAUGUUCUAGUCUACUUGAAUUGGUACAUAGUGAUGUUUGUGACUUGCAUGCUUCUCCUACUAUUGGUGGAAAGAAAUAUUUUGUUACAUUUAUUGAUGAUUUUUCUAGAUAUAGUUAUGUUUAUCUUUUGCAUUCUAAAAAUGAAGCGCUAGAUAAAUUUAGAAUUUAUAAAUCUGAAGUUGAGGUGAAAUGUGAGAAAAUGGUCAAAUGCCUAAGAACAGACAGAGGAGGAGAAUAUUAUGAUCCUUCAUUUUUUGAGUCCAUUGGUAUUAUACAUGAAACCUCUGCACCUUAUACUCCACAACAAAACGGAGUUGCAGAAAGAAAAAAUAGAACAUUA
Molecule: long non-coding RNA, 49316 nt
Filed under: Ananas comosus (pineapple)
Lineage: Eukaryota; Viridiplantae; Streptophyta; Magnoliopsida; Poales; Bromeliaceae
Description: long non-coding RNA (ACOM_LNC024424)
Source: RNAcentral